GACGGACCAAGCUCGCCGGCGUCCCUUCCCUUCAUUGCACAUUCGUGGGUCGCGGAACUGAAGACCAAUGGCAUGCUGUCGUCAAUCAAUCAAUCAACCAUCCCAUCAUCAAGCCGUAAACAGGAGAUGUACUACGAAAGAUCGAGUUAGUUGUAUUGUAGUACUACAUGGAGGUCAUUGAAAGCCCGCCGAGGCCACGGGCCCCAUAUGUCUGCGGCAUUUGCCUUAGCUCUGUAGCCUAGCUAGGUUCGUUCAUCAUCAGUGAAGUGUACAUACGUGGUGCCCUGCAAUAAAAUCUCACUCACACGGCUGAUAUUUGUUUGUUCUCUCUUUUCACUGCAUGAGAAAAGUGUUUCUACGGGGAGUUGAGUUUGUGGCGUGCAGAGUGCGGGCGUGACCUCUGAGGCCGACCGAUUGACGGAUUUGGCUUCCCGUGACAGCAUCAUGCGGGGGUGGCGGGGUCGGAUCCGGUGAAGAACAGACCGAGGGUUGGGUUCCGUGCAUGCAUAUGUAGUACUUACUAUGUAUGCCGUCACCGGUCGCUGUCUCCUGGCCCUCUGCCGCGAUCAUCGAUCCGCCUCCGCCUCCCCCUCCGCCGAAAACCGCGGGCGCUCGCGUCGCGUCGCGUGGUGGCGUGGCGGUCUCGCGCGCCUCCCGCCGCGGGUUGCGUUGGAGUAAAGUCUAUUUUAAACCUUGAAUUCGUAUGGCUCGUCAGAAUCAAACCUCGAACUCUAAAUCCCUGAAAUCGACACCCUAUACUUUCUAAUCCUGGUCAAUCCUGACCUUAGAUCUGUUUGGCUACCAGAAAAGGUACGAUCCUGACCGGGUUCACUGGCUACUCUGACUAACGUUGUGAGCUUUGUCACAUGGCAUAAAUUGAUCUCAUUUGCAUAAAAAUGAAUUACUAAGCAUGAGAGAUGAUACCACAACCAAAACGAGUGUUUCUGCAAAAUUAUCAAUAUUGCAUAUAAGAGCACAUUGAGGAACUGGUAUGCAAUAAACUGCUUAAUUGGCAUAUUUGGGAUAAGUGAACCAUGAGCAUGGUUUUAAAGAUCCCCAUGAUAUGCUCCUUCUCAAAUUGCUCAUAGAUGCAAAAGGGAGGUUUAAGAUUUUGCAAGAAACACAAACUCAACAAGUACUAAUCAUGCCAUGAUGCAACAUACACAAUGUUGACUCUAAUUUAAAUAAAUGCAUGAAGUGAGUACUUGUUACCGAGAGAGCAUUGGUUCAAGGGGCCAUUGAUCUAGUAUGCGAGCAUGAGGGACUUGAUCUUGUUCUUGGAUAGGUACAUGAUCUCCCAUAGCAUCUUGCUCUGGUGUUGGGGGUGAUGACUUCCCUUGUGGUGGAUCCACAAGAGGGGCUCUUACUCCUUCUUCUUCUACAUGGACAUGGGGUGUUUCUUGUGAAAGAAUAUGAUCGAUCCCCAUUGUACUUGUAGCUUGGGAAGGAGCCUCAUCACCUACAACACUUGAAACAAAUUGCUCCGCAUGGAAGCCGUUAUUCUCAUCACACUCCACAUUCACCGUUUCCUCAAUACAUCCCGUGGAUUUAUUGAGAAUACGGUAAGUGUGGGAGUCUGAUGCAUAUCCAAAAUAUUGACACAAAUUUUAGUUAACCGGGUUUUCAUGAUGAGAAUGAAACACUUACAACCGACCCGGGUUUUCAAUUAUCUUCUCCCUCAAAUCACAUAAUCAACCAAGCUUGGCUCUAGUAAUUUUCCACGGUGUCUCCACCUUCCUCAUGAAUAAGCCAAGCAUCCAAUGCUUCUCCAAAGUACCUAAAACACAUUAAGGUACAAUUUGGUCCCCAAACUUGUUGGGUCCGAAGUAGUUAGACCAACUACAAUACAUAGGACAAACUCCACACUAAAUAUGUGCAUAUGGAUAUGAACUCGAAAUUCAAGCACAUUUUUAACCAUUACGGAUAUGAUGGAGUUUACCAUAUAGAGACUAUCAAGUAGAGCAAGCAAGGCAUGAAGAAUUAUAUAAAUAAAUAUACAUGCACAAGCCUACCAAGAUCCAAACAGAUACAAUUUGGACAAAAGAACACAUACACGAUGAAUGCACCUCUAAUAUCACAAAGCAUUCAAGUUGUUCAAAUUAUAUCAAAGUGACGAAUCCACACAAGACCGCACACUAAGAACAACAUAUGAACUAAGCAAAAAACCAAUGAGCAUAGGAUAUACACUACACACAUACUCAAAGGUUUAUCUCACUCAAGUAGAUCAUAGAUAGUGCAAGUAGUGAGAUAAGGCAAGUUGAAGCACGAGCCGAGAAGAAGAUGAUCAUAUAGUUCUACCACAUGAAGAAAUACCAAUUGUAAGAGAAUAACAAUGGUAUUUGGACUUAACACUCAGUGGUAGAUUUCGAAGAUGCACAAGAUCAAAAUCAUAUACCAAAGUAUAAGAAGAGAGAAUCAUAGUGUUAUUGGCUGGGUGGGCAUUUCUGCCCGUUGGACCCCGUGCGCAUGAGCUAAGUCAGCCCCGUGCGCACGGGGUACUCAGAGACUGAAACCCCACCCCGUGCGCAUGGGGGUCAACAGACCCCAUGCGCACGGGGUGUCCAUAGAGUUACGCGGCACCCUGUGUGCAUGAGGGUCAAAGACCCUGUGCGCACGAGGUGUCCAAAGGAUUCUGUGAAACUCUAAGGACACCUCGGCGACGCACACUACAAAGGAAAAAUAAGCACCAACAAGAGAUAAUUAAUGGAUACUUUGAGAAUUUGAAUUUCAAAUGAGCUUGACGUACCACAUAGUGACUAGAUAAUAUUCAAUAUCAAUACUAGGUGGUAUUUCUCAUAUUCACAUUUGGGGUUUGUGAUGUGCACAAAACAUAACACUCCCCCAUAAUGUGAUGAUACACUAAUAUCUCACAAAAGGCAAGCAAGAUUCAAAUAUGAUACAAUAAGGCUCAAGCCUACAAACACCACUAUAUGAUGUGCAAAGCAACCUACACAUGCUAGAUACAAAACCUAAACAUGCAAGGGGCGAGUAACUUUCAAUGUAAGCAAUAUAAAUACAUGUUACCGCAAAGAGGAACAUUGGAUAGAUAAUAUGAAGAUAAUCCACAUGACUUGGCUCGAACAAAUAAAUGGUGGAGAUCCUUUUCUUCAUGAACUAGCCAAAUCUCCAAUGUCCUCCACACACCUAUUGAUCAAGUUUGAGCUUGAUGGUCCCCAACCAAGUUGGGUCCUAAGAAGUUAGUCACAAUAGGCUUGGCAACCCAAAUGGUCUUUUCCAUUUCCAAACCACUUUGGGCACCAACAAACUUGGCAACCAAAUUGCCAACAACAUCCUUCCUAAGCGAAUAAUGAUCAUUGACUAGAGGAGGCUUAGGGAUGUUACCGUUAGGACAUGAUGAGGAUAUGUGUCCCUUCUCACGACAAAUAUAGCAACAUGUGCUCCCCCUUCUCUUCUUCUUUAUUUCAUCAACUUGGGGAGCAUUACCUUUGUUCAUCAUUGGCAGUGGCCUUUCUUCAACAUGAGGUUGACCUUGAGAUUGAACUUGAGGACACUUCCCUUGAUGCUUCACAUUUGAAGCCUUCUUCUUCAAUGGACAAGAUCUCACAUGGUGUCCAACAGUCUUGCACUUGAAGCAUGUAAUGUUGGCCGGAUUCUUGACUUGAUCUUGUCCCUUCUUCUUUUUCUUGGGCUUCUUAUUGUUGGGGAUGAAACCAAGUCUGCCCUUGUCAUGGGGGGAUUUUUGAACACUCAAGAUAGCGUUGAGAGAGGUAUUUCCUUCAUGACAUAUUUCCAAGUCUUUCUUCAAAUUAGUGACUUGGGACUUGAGCUCUUCGUUUUCCUCUACAAGGUUAGUAUCAACAAAAGUACUGGAGGAAGUAGAAGCUUCAUUGUUAGAGCAACAAUGCAAGGGGAGCAAUUCAUCACAAGAAUUGGCAAUAAUAUGUCUAGAUGAACCACUAGGACUAGCACAUGUCAAUAAAGCAUUUUGAGUAGAAAUAGUGCUCAUGUCCACAUGAGGCUCACGAGAUGUUACCUUAGUCAGAAUAGCCUCAUGAGCUAACUUUAGCCUUUCAUGGGAGAUUAGAAGAUCAUCAUGAAAGCCUGAGAGCUUUUCAUGACUUUAUUCUAAUUUCCCAUAAUUGUUAGUUAGCAAAACAAGUUGAGCCCUUAGCUCAACACUCUCCUUCAAGAUUGAUGCUUCACAAGGAGUGGAGUUAGUAGCACAAGCAUCAUUGACAAUAUGAAAGGAGCUAGAAGAAACUAGAGACUUCACAUGAGUAGCUUGAAGUUCCUCAUAAGACUUAGAGAGUUUGGUGAGCUCUCCUUUGACACUCUUGUAGACAAGGUCAAGGUGCUCAAAAUCCUCUUUAAGUUGAUCAUGAGCAACUUCAAUCUCUUCUUUAGAAGAUUCUAAGUCUCUAAGAGUUUCUAGAGCAUGAAGAGGGUUAUAAUCAAGUUUUUCAUUUUGUUCUUGCUCUUCGUGAAGUAAAUCAUUACACUUUCCAAAAUGAGUGAUAAGAUCUUUAAACAUCUCAUAAGUUUUCUUAUUUACCCCACGAAGAGAAUUACCAAUCUCAUAUAUCUCUUGACUCAUAUCCCUAUCACAUUCACCAUCACUCUCAUCAAUAUCAUUACAAAGAGUAUAUGAUGCCUCGGUAUUACCUCUUGCCAUGAGGCACAUGUGAAUAUCGGAGGUUGAUGAUGAUUCUUUUGGAGAGGGAGUUUCUUUAUCAUCAAGAGUAGGAUAUCCAUGUCCAUCCUUUUGACACUCAUAGCAUUUCCUCUCCAACGAGGUGAUGUCCUUCUUUGCUCCUCUAGCAGUUUCCUCUUUAAUGAUGUGUGCACUAUUUUCUCUUGUUUCCUCUACAUGGUUAGUCAAACAACAACUGGAGGAAAUAGAAGCAUAGAGAUCAUGGAAACAAGGAGUAUCAAGCAUAUCAUCACAAAAGGUAUUCGAGGAAUCUCCAAAUGAUAUGGAUGGACUAUCAACACAAGAAUGUAGGUCAUUUUUGCUAGAUAUGCUCAAGUCCAUAGAAUCUACAACACUAGCAUGUAUACAUGAAAGAUAAUCAAUGUUUAGCACAACAUCAUCAUCACAAAUGAUAUUUCCACUCACCAUGUCAUUACCUUGGGACAUGCCAUAUGACGGUGAGGUGGAAGAAGUAGAAAUGUCCAAGUACAUGGAUGAAGAAGCAUUAUGGAGUUCUUCAUGAUUCGAAGAUGUGGAGAACUCAUCAAUUGACUCCUCCGACAUAUGAUGAAUAUCAACAAGAUUGGACCCACCAUAUAUUUGUUCAAGUUUGGUCCACAUAUCAUGAGCUGUCACACAAGUCAUGAUAGACUCAAAUACUUCGAGGGAUAUAAACUGGAUUAUGGCAUUCUUAGCACUAUAUCUACAAAGCAUAUCAUCAUUUUCCUCACUAGUUGGAAAAAGGUUGUCCUUCCACGGUGAAGUCCCUACAAGAACAAUUCGCACAAAACUUGGACCCAUGGUCCGAAAAUGACAAAGCAUGCGAAUUUUCCACAAGUGAUAGUUUGUGCCACUAAAACAAAAAGUGUCAUCAUGCACUAUACCGCUAGUCGACAUCUUUACUCUCUAGGCGGUGAAGCCUACCAAGGAGAGACCAAAGCUCUGAUACCAAUUGAAAUGAUCUAGAUGACGACUAGAGGGGGGUGAAUAGGAGUUUUAAAACUUUUACGGAUUUGGCUUUAUCCUAAUGCGGAAUUAAACUAAUGCAUACUUUUCAAGCACAAAUCCUAAAGGGAUUUUUAUUUCUGUGCUCCUGGUUCCUUAGCUCUACUCAUUCAUCCCCACUCUGUUAACUGUUGCCCACUUUUCCCCACUCCCUUGCCCGAAACCCUCAUAACUGGUUAUAACGGACGUUGCCAUUGGGUCAAUGCCUUUGACCGUUAGCUGACGAGUGGGGCCGCGUAUACGUGGGCGCAUGCAAGACCGCGGUCGUGGGGUAGCAUGUGUCCAUGGACAUGCCCAAACGUCCCAUCAUAUAAAGAGGGCAACCACCUCCAUCGCCCCUACCAUUUUCCCCCAAAUCCCCUCGCUGUCGCAUCGUCUUCCUCCCCACGCAGUCGUCUUCUCGCUCUCCUCCACUGCCUCCACUGCACCGUCUCGCCCUCCCCCACCGCAUCGUCUUCCUCACCUUCAUCGCCUGCAUCUGUCAGAUGGCCGAUGCUCGUGGCGACGCCAGCGCAGCGGCCGGAGAUGUGGUGGAGCUGCAGGGUCAGGGCGCGGUGACCGCGGAUGUCGGCGGCGUCCACGAUGGUGCGGGGAAACUCGCAAUCGCUACGGAUGUGGCGGGCUCCGCCUCAUCGCAGCAGAAGGUGAUGGCGUCGAGCGGCGCAGUCCAUCCCGAUGCCCCCGUUGCGCCGCCUGCCGUGGAGGAGGAGGUAUUUGCACUUGCUUAGCUUGUAGAGUUAGUUCGAUUGUGAUUCAUACAUUAGUUCAGAUGCUUAAAGUAGUUGGUUUGACGGAUGGGCCGGGUUUUUUUGUACGUGUAUGGGUUCGGGGGAUGGGGUUUUUGGACUAGGGUUUGUUGGAUAAAUUGGUUGCAAAAAUGCUAGCUAGAUGUUGUGAACUAUGAUUUUAGGUGCUGCAAUGAUUGGUGUUUUUAGAUUUGUUUUUAGAUUUGGAUAAAUUCGUUGCAAAAAUGCUAGAUGUUGUGAACAGAUUGGGGUUUUUAAUGCUAUGAUGCUUAUUACAUUUGUUUUUAGUGCUCACAGAUUGGGGUUUUUAAUGCUACUCAGAUUCGUUGCCUUAGAUUGGGUCCCUGUUAGAUUUGUUUUUGAAUGCUACUCAGAUUGGGGUUUUGAAUCUCAUAUGCCCAAAUGGAAUCCAUUGAUUAAGAAGUUAUUUGAUUCAUUAGUAUAUAAAUUAUAUGUAGUUAUAUUAGUUCUGUUCUUCAAUGUGUGUGCAUGACCAAUGAUCAAUGUGUUAUGUCGGGUGGUUGGUGCGACAUAUGCCAAGGGAUGGCUUAUCAUUGUGGGAGCCAAUAAAGCGUCGCCGGUGCCUGGAAACGGGAUGAGGCGAAGACAUGCACGCCGGCGGAUCUUACCCAGGUUCGGGGCUCUCCGAGGAGAUAACACCCCUAGUCCUGCUCUGCGGGGUCUCCGCAUGAUCACUAGAUCGAUGAAAGGUAGCUACAAUCGCUCCUAGAGCUGUGGAGAUCAAGGGAGAAGAAGAACAAGGCUAGCUCUUGCUUCUCUCUAUUUAUGGUGUGUGUGUUAUGCUAAGAAGGCAACUCUAUGCUUAGAGGCCAACUAUGCUUAGGUGCGGACCCUUUGCAUGGGUGCUCCGGGGGGUUUAUAUAGGCCUACCCCCCGGGGGUACAAUGGUAAUCCGGCAGGGCUCUGGCCCCAGCCAUCAGUGUCUACGCUCGCCGGCUUCUCCGCCGGCUGGUGGGUCCCGCCGGCUGCCGGUUACUCGGUCGACAGGCCGGCCCCACCGCAUAGGGUCUUGUCGGCGGCUGCUUACUGUAGCCUCGCCUGUGAUGACGAGGGCUUUGUCGAGGUAAGCGUGGCUACAGUGGGCCGCCUCGGGGGCUAUCACUGUAGCCUUACCUCGUCUUGUCUCCUUAAUGGGGCUCCUGCUUCGAGGAAGGGAGUAGCCGGCUUCUGGAGGCCGGCUAUGCUCUUGGCCGACUGGGAAAGGCCGGGCCGCCUUCACGCCUCUCUCUGGCUGAAGGGGCCCGCCGCCCGCGGGCCGUACGGGAGUCGGUCGUGGGUGACGUCGAGGCCAACAUGGCUACAGUGCCGAGCCGCACGGGAGACGUCCGUCCCGUACGGCCUCCUGUAGCCACGCCCGCCUCGGGCUUCGGGGGUAGUGGGCCGCACUGUGGCCACACCCCGUCACGUCGCCGUUAUGUGGGAGUGGUUUGGAGUGGUUGUGGUCUUGGCCGGCUCCUAGGAGUCGGCGUCCUUCUUGGCCGGCUUCUUGGAGUCGGCCACCCCGUAGUCGUCCUGGGGAGGAGUUGGUGAGGCUGGGUCGCCUUCCGGGAGUCGGCUUUAGUGGUAGCCGGCCAGGGAAGGCGGCCCAAUGCUCGGAGUGCUUGGAGGCCCGAAGGCCUGAUAAUUUUUUCAGAAGAACCAGGGGCAGUCGGUUAGGCUACCCGUGGCCAUUUACUCCGACAGUAGUCCCCGAAGCUGAUUGGGCUUCGAGGUGGAGUGGGGUUUGAGAAGCUCGAUCAGCUUCCUAUCAUGACAAGCCGGCAGCUGGGAGCCGGCCUUGGUCAGGCGCGCCGCCUGAGUCGAAAUCUUCUGGAGUCGAAGGGCGGGAACCCGCUGGCACGUGCACCGGGCCGCGGGCCGGCCACGGGCCGUCGGCGAGCCACGUGGCCGGAAAGCCUGCCAGCCCACGCGCGUGACGGGACGUCGCCGCAGGGAGGGGGCCCGCCACGUCCGCGCCCCGGCCCAGGCGCGGAUCCUUUGUAUCCCGAAACCGCCCGCCCGUUCCGUGCGACAGUUUCGGCUCGCAUUUACGCGCAAUAAUCGCGAGACGUGGGGGGAGUGGGCGGAGUUAAUCCCACGUCUCCCCCACGUCCGGCCUCUUCGGCCUCGUGAGGCUAUAAGUAGGGGGAGGUGGAGGGCGGCAGGCCCUCGCACGCUCCUCCUACUUCCACCGUCUUCUUCGCUCGCCCGUUCUCGCGACAGCGCCUCGCCGCCGCGCACUUGCACCGCCCGCUCCUCCGCCGCCGUGCAAGCUCUCGCCAUGCCUCCCACCGUAGAGCAGCUUGGCAGGGAUUGGGACGGCUCCAACGUCCAUGACGACCACGUCGACUUCCUCCGCGACACACGGCGGCUGCCCACCGCGGACAAAGUGGAGGUCCACCUUGCGCCGGCGAAGGAAAUCAGGCCGGAGCCGCGGGAGGGCGAGCGGGUGGUCUUCCGCUCGCACUUCCUGCGCGGCUUCGGCCUGCCAGUGAGCGCCUUCUUCCGCUCCUGGCUGGAAUUCUAUCAGCUCCAGCCGCACCAUCUCACCCCCAACGCGGUGGUGCUGCUGUCUGCCUUCGUCACCCUGUGCGAGGGCUAUCUCGGCGUCCUCCCCACCCUUGAGCUCUGGGGGGAGCUCUUCCAGUCGAAGCUGGGCACGCGCAGCAAGGGCGUGCCGGCUCAUACUGGCGCCUUCAUCGCGUCGCGGAGGUCGGGCGCCAACAACCCCUUCCCCGUCAUCACGCUGAUCCAAUCGGUGAAGAAGUGGCAGAAGUCGUACUUCUACGUGCGGAACAUCACUCCACGGGGCGACUACAUCAACCUGCCGGCUUACGUAGCCGGCCCACCGGCGGGGAGGCUGCCCCAGUGGUCCUUCCGGGCGGUGACGCUGUCGCAGGCUGGAAACGCCGCCAUCGCCCGACUGCGGGUGAUGGUCCAGUCGGAGGGCCUAACGGGGCCCGAUCUUCUGGCUGCGUUCGUCACGCGCCGGGUUCUUCCGCUCCAGAGCCGGCCUCAUUCGAUCUGUCAGAUGAGCGGCCAGCUCGAUCCGAGCCGCAUGUGCACCAAGGAGAUGCCGCGCCAUGAGGUCGCCUACAUGGUGAAUUACCUCGCAAACUGCCAACUCACUGAAGAGUGGCAGUUCGGCAAGGAACCGUAUAGCCGAGCCAAUCCUCCGCCUACGGUACGCUCCCCUUGUCUCUUUCUCUCUCUCUCUCUCUCAGCCUUGUUGCCGAGCAUCUCUUGGCCGACUUUGACUUAGUCGGCUUGUUCUUCGACAGAGCCCUCUGCUUCGGCCGGCCAACGGGUCAGACGCGGAGCGCCGCUUCGUCCCCGACUGGACCGAACACGACCUGGAGGACCCCGACCUGGGGGCGGUCCAUAUGGACGACGCCGUCGAGCCGGGCGGUGGCCCAGCCGGCGGCGAAGCAGGCGGCUCCGGGUUCACUUCUACCUUCGACGACUGGCCGGACGAGGAUGAAGCCGAAGCCGUCCCGCGCCGCCAGCCGGCAUCUGGACGCGGCGCGGGCUCCUCCGCCGCGCAGCCUGCUCGGGGUGGAGGGCUGAAGCGUCGCGCCGCCCAGGGUCUAUUCGGCAGCCGAACGAAGAAGCCCAGGGGCGGGGUGGCAGCCACCAGGCGGGAAGAGGCGGCCGCGAAGGCGGCUCGUUUUCGCAAAGUGGUGAAGCAACCGCAGACCGUGUCGGCGUAAGUUCUCUUUCUCUAUGUACUCUCUUUCUUUCUUUUCUUUGGUGGUUCUUGAACCUUUGUCUUCUUCUUCAACGAUCAGAGCUCCGUUGUCACUUGAGCGGGCGGCUGCCGGCUCCGUCGUCGAGUCGCCAAGGGGCUCUGGGAGCACCACCCGCCGCGUGGACCCCCGCGCCGACCUCCAGGAAUCGACAGAAAGGAACGCGCGGGAGGCGCGGGAGGAGCAGGAGGCACGGGAGGCGGAGGCACGGAGGGCAGCCGCCGCCCAGGCGGCUCGGGAGGAGGAGGCGGCGAAGGCACUCGCCGAGGCCGCAGCCAGGGCCCAGGCAGAGGCUGAGGCCGCGGCGGCGGCAGGGGAGGUUUUGAUGGUCACCCCCCUGCGCACCAUGGCGCCUGGGGAGACGGAGCCCUCGCCAGGGGGAGCCAGCGGCGACCAGCCAGGGCUAGGGGGAAGCGGCGACGACGUCAUCAUCUUGGAGAAGGCGCCGGAGCCAACCCCUCCGACUAGGGCGGCCCAAGGCGGCCAGCCUGAGCCUGUGCCCGCACAGUCGGCGGAGGGCGAGCCGGCUGCGAGGGCUGAGGUGGCGGUCCGGAUUCCGCCAAGCCGGCAUGCGGGGAAGGCCGUGUCGGAGCCGCAGAAGGCUGCGUCGGAGCCACAGCCGGCCGUGGGCUCCGGCUCGUCGGCCCAAGAUGCGAAGGCGGCCAACGCUACCUCGGGGUGGACACCAGGCGGAGGGACGGCCGUGGUGAACGUGGCUGCACAAGACGUCCGGACCCGGCUCCAAGGCCAGGCUGCGGCGCUAAGGCAGUUCACCGACGAGUUCCUGGCAAUGCGGGCGGCCAUCCGGGUUAGGAUUCCCAUCUUGUUCUUUCUUGAUCUUGAUUUCUCUUCUUGAUCUUGAUUUCUCUCGUGGGGGCGCGUCAGCACACCCACUGGGUGUAGUCCCCGAGUUCUGAGUCGGCUGCUGAGCAGGCGGCUUGGAACUUCUUGGAGGUUUUGUCUUUGCUGUUUUUGUUCUCACUUCGGUCUUCUGUCCGUCUUGCAGGACUACCACAACCUCCGAGCGGCCGCCUUCAACUCCCAGGCUCGGGAGCUGACUCAGAAGACCGCCGACCUUACUAAGAGCCGAGGUAUGUGACUUGAUCUUUGUCUCAUGUGGGGGCGCGUCAGCGCACCCACUGGGUGUAGUCCCCGAGAUUCGGGCCGACUGCUGAGCAGUCGCGUCGGAUCUUCCAUGACGAUUUCUUACUGUUUUUCCUCUUCUGCCAUCUCUGCAGCGGCCAACGCCAGUCUGAGGGCGCAGCUGGGGGAGUCCCAGUGCCAGUUCCUGUUUCUUGCAUGUUUUUUGUUUCGCGGAAAAUCCAUAGUAAACAGAGUCCAAACGGGAUAAAAACUGACGGAGAUUUUUUCUGGAAUAUAUGUGAUUUUUGGGAUGAAGAAUCAACGCUGAAAGGCAGGGGGCGCGCCUGAGGGGGUCAGGCGCGCCCUGGGCCCUCGUGGCCACCCCGUAAGGCAGUUGGUGCCCUUCUUUCGCCGCUAUAAAGCUAAUAUCCGGAUAGAGAUCGUGUCCAAAAUUCAGCCCUAUCGGAGUUACGGAUCUCCGGGAAUUUAAGAAACGGUGAAAGGGCAGAAUCAGGGAACGCAGAAACAGAGAGAGACAGAGAGACAGAUCCAAUCUCGGAGGGGCUCUCGCCCCUCCCAUGCUAUGUAUACCAUGGACCAGAGGGGAAACCCUUCUCCCAUCUAGGGAGAAGGUCAAGGAAGAAGAAGAAGGAGGGGGGCUCUCUCCCCCUCGCUUUCGGUGGCGCCGGAGUGCCGCCGGGGCCAUCAUCGUCACCGCAAUCUACACCAACAACUUCACCGCCGUCAUCACCAACUCUUCCCCCCUCUAUGCAGCAGUGUAACCCCGCUUUUACCCGCUGUAAUCUCUACUUAAACAUGGUGCUCAACGUUAUAUAUUAUUUCCCAAUGAUGUAUGGCUAUCCUAUGAUGUUUGAGUAGAUCCGUUUUGUCCUAUGGGUUAAUUGAUGAUCGUGAUUGGUUUGAGUUGCAUGUUAUAUUAUUGGUGCUGUUCUAUAGUGCUCUCUGUGUCGCGCAAGCGUGAGGGAUCCCCGUUGUAGGGUUUGCAAUAUGUUCAUGAUUUGCUUAUGGUGGGUGGCGUGAGUGACAGAAGCACAGACCCAAGUAAGUAGGUUGUUUGCGUAUGGGAGUAAAGAGGACUUGAUGCCUUAUAAUGCUAUGGUUGGGUUUUACCUUAAUGAUCUUUAGUAGUUAUGUAUGCUUGCUAGACUUCCAAUCAUAAGUGCAUAUGAUCCAAUAAGAGAAAGUAUGUUAGCUUAUGCCUCUCCCUCAUAUAAAAUUGCAAUAAUGAUUACCGAUCUAGUUAUCGAUUGCCUAGGGACAAAUAACUUUCUCGUGACAAAAAGCUCUUUACUAAAACUAAUUUAGUUGUGUAUUUAUCUAAACAGCCCCUGCUUUUUAUUUACGCGAUCUUUAUAUUCUUGCAAACCUAUCCAAAAACACCUACAAAGUACUUCUAGUUUCAUACUUUUUCUAGGUAAAGCGAACGUUAAGCGUGCGUAGAGUUGUAUCGGUUGUCGAUAGAACUUGAGGAAAUAUUUGUUCUAACUUUAGCUCCUCGUUGGGUUCGACACUCUUACUUAUCGAAAGAGGCUACAAUUGAUCCCCUAUACUUGUGGGUUAUCACGACCUUUUUCUGGCGCCGUUGCCGGGGAGCAAUAGCGUGGGGUGAAUAUUCUCGUGUGUGCUUGUUUGCUUUAUCACUGAGUAAUUUUUAUUUGCUGUUCUAAGUUGUUCUCUAUCUUUAGUCAAGGAUAUGGAACACGAAAUACCAAAAAAAUUAGGUUUACUUGCUAUUCAUGGAGAUGGGGAACCUCCUAAAACCCUCGAUGCUCAUUAUGUGAAAGAUAUUAUGUACUACUUUGAUAAUCCUGAGAAAACCCCAUUCAAUUUUGUAAUGGGAGACACGUUGGAUCAACGUGAAUACUUUAGGGAUUAUCGCUUGACUCAAAAAGGGAAAAUAUUAUGGGAUCAAAUUUAUAUGUUGUAUUGGUAUGUUAGGCAACUAUGCUUGAGAUAUGAUUAUACUUGUUGCUCUAGGAUGAAGGCUCCACACCUUCCCUUUUCAUGCAAAUUUAAUGAUAAUGAAACCUUGGCUUCUUAUGCUAGAGGUAUAUAUGAUUACUAUGAUGUGGAACCAAUAGAAGAAUUUGUUGCUUUUAAGGGUGCAUGUGAAAUUGAAUCUUUGUUUAAAGAGUUUGAAGAUUUUGAUGAUUCAGUUUAUAGACCUGAAAUUUUAGCUAUCCUUAAAUAUUGCUAUGAGAAUUAUAAAUACAAUUAUGAUAUUGAUGAAUUUAUUGAGAAAGUCUCCGCUGUCCACGAAGAGACUAAUAUUUUGCAGGAGUCUAUGGAAGAAGAAAUUAAUGACAUUGUGAGCUCAUUGGAUGAAAAAGAUGAUGAGGAGAGCGAAGAACAAAAGGAGGAAGAACGGAUUAGCUACCCCUGCCCACCUUCUAAUGAGAGUAACUCUUCAACUGAUACAUUGUUUAAUUUCCCUUCGUGCUUACCGAAGGAUGAUUGCUAUGAUGACUGUUAUGAUCCCGUUGAUUCUUUUGAAAUAUCCCUUUUUGAUGAUGCUUGCUAUGCUUGUGGCCAAGAUGCCAAUAUUAAUUAUGCUUAUGGAGAUGUACUUGCUAUAGUUCCUUAUGUUAAACAUGAAAUUGUUGCUAUUGCACCCACGCAUGAUAGUCCUAUUAUCUUUUUGAAUUCUCCAAACUACACUAUAUCGGAGAAGUUUGCCCUUAUUAAGGAUUAUAUUGAUGGGUUGCGUUUUACUACUACAUAUGAUGAUUUUGAUAGAUAUAAUAUGCAUGUGCUUGCUGCCCCUACUUGCAAUUAUUAUGAGAGAGGAACUAUAUCUCCACCUCUCUAUGUUUCCCACACAAUAAAAUUGCAAGAAACUGUUUAUACUAUGCAUUGGCCUUUACUUUGUGUGCAUGAAUUGUUCUUUUAUGACAUGCCGAUGCAUAGGAAGAGAGUUAGACUUCGUCAUUACAUGAUAUAUGUUACUUUGUGCUCACUACUAAAUUAUAAAUCAUUGUUAAAUAAAAUGGCUUUGAUAUACCUUGGGAUCCGCGUGGAUCCAUUACUUGAGCACUAUAUGCCUAGCUUAAUGGCUUUAAAGAAAGCGCUGCCAGGGAGACAACCCGGAAGUUUUAGAGAUUCAUUUAUUUCUGUUGUGUGCUUUUAUAAAUUUUAAGAACAAAAAAAAAUAAAGAGGGGAACCUAAAACUUUUUCAAAAAAGGAAAGUGAAAGUGAGAAAGACAAGCAUUGUUAAAGUGGGAGCUAGCCUUGAACUUUGUUCAUGCUCACGGAAACUUUGUGAAUCUUGAUUACAGAAACUUUUCAACAAAAAUAAUUAUCCCCUUGUACAAUUCCAUUGUAUUAUAAAAAUAAUGUGCUAAGGUUUGCCUUUAGGAUGUUUACAUUGCUUGUUGGUUUGUGCGGUGCAGAACAGAAACUUUGGCUGUAGUGCACGAUUUUACAUUUUUUACUGGAACGUCAAACGGUUCUGAAACCUUUUGCAAUGUAUUUCUAUACAAAUUUUUUAUUUUUCCUAAUUUUUUCAGAAGUUUUGGAGUACCAGAGGUAUGGUGAAUGUUCCGAUUACUACAGACUGUCCUGUUUAAGACAGAUUCUGUUUUUGAUGCAUUGUUUGCUUGUUUUGAUGAAACUACCGAUUUCUAUCAGUGGAUUAAGCCAUGAAAAAGUUAUAUUACAGUAGCUACAGUGCAAAAACAAAAAUGAAUUGGUUUGCAAUAUUAGAGUAGUGAUUUGCUUUAUUAUACUAACGGAUCUUACCGAGCUUUUUGUUGAGUUUUGUGUGGAUGAAGUGUUCGAAGAUCGAGGAGGUCUCGAUAUGAGGAGAAGGAGGAGAGGCAAGAUCUCAAGCUUGGGGAUGCCCAAGUCACCCCAAGUAAAUAUUCAAGGAGACUCAAGCGUCUAAGCUUGGGGAUGCCCCGGAAGGCAUCACAUCUUUCUUCAACAAGUAUCGGUAUGUUUUCGGAUUCAUUUCGUUCAUCUGAUAUGUGCAAAUCUUGGAGCGUCUUUUGCAUUUAGUUUUCACUUUUCUUUUAUGCACCAUGCUGGUAUGAGGUAGUCCUUGGUUGAUUUAUAGAAUGCUCAUUGCACUUCACUUAUAUCUUUUGAGUAUGGCUUUAUAGAAUGCUUCAUGUGCUUCACUUAUAUCGUUUAAAGUUUGGAUUGCCUGUUUCUCUUCACAUAGAAAACCGCCAUUUGUAGAAUGCUCUUUUGCUUCACUUAUACUUGUUAGAGCAUGGGCAUAUCUUUUGUAGAAAUAAUUAAACUCUCUUGCUUCACUUAUAUCUAUUUAGAGAGUUGACAGGAACUGGUCAUUCACAUGGUUGGUCAUAAAAUCCUACAUAAAAUUUGUAGAUCACUGAAUAUGAUAUGUUUGAUCCCUUGCAAUAGUUUUGCGAUAUAAAGAUGGUGAUAUUAGAGUCAUUCUAGUGGGUAGUUGUGGAUUCAAAUACUUGUGUUAUAGUUUGUGAUUCCCGUAGCAUGCACGUAUGGUGAACCGUUAUGUAACGAAGUUGGAGCAUGAGGUGUUCUUUGAUUGCUUUCCUUAUGAGUGGUGGUCGGGGACGAGCGAUGGUCUUUUCCUACCAAUCUAUCCCCCUAGGGCCAUGCAUAGUAGUACUUUGCUUCGAGGGCUAAUAAACUUUUGCAGUAAGUAUAUGAGUUCUUUAUGACUAAUGUGAGUCCAUGGAUUAUACGCACUCUCACCCUUCCAUCAUUGCUAGCCUCUUCGGUACCGUGCAUUGCCCUUUCUCAUCUCGAGAGUUGGUGCAAACUUCGCUGGUGCAUCCAAACCCCGUGAUACGAUACGCUCUAUCACACAUAAACCUCCUUAUAUCUUCCUCAAAACAGCCACCAUACCUACCUAUCAUGGCAUUUCCAUAGCCAUUCCGUGAUAUAUUGCCAUGCAACUUCCAUCAUCAUCAUAUACAUGACUUGAGCAUUUAUUGUCAUAUUGCUUUGCAUGAUCUUAAUUUAGCUAGCAUGAUGUUUUCAUGGCUUGUCCGUUUUUUGAUGUCAUUGCUAUGCUAGAUCAUUGCACAUCCCGGUACACCGCCAGAGGCAUUCAUAUAGAGUCAUAUCUUUGUUCUAGUAUCGAGUUUUAAUAUUGAGUUGUAAGUAAAUAAAAGUGUGAUGAUCAUCAUUAUUAGAGCAUUGCCCCAUGAAAAAAAAGAGAGGCCAAAGAAGCCUAAAUAAAAAAAGAGGGACAAAGAAGCCCGCCAAAAAGAAGAGAAAAAAGAAAAGGGGCAAUGUUACUAUCCUUUUACCACACUUGUGCUUCAAAGUAGCACCAUGUUCUUCAUAUAGAGAGUCUCUUGAGUUACCACUCUUAUAUACUAGUGGGAAUUUUCCAUUAUAGAACUUGGCUUGUAUAUUCCGAUGAUGGGCUUCCUCUUCAUGAGCAAGCAAGUUGGAUGCACACCCACUUAGUUUCCAGUUUGAUCUUUCAUACACUUAUAGCUCUUAGUGCAUCCGUUGCAUGGCAAUCCCUACUCCUCACAUUGACAUCAAUUGAUGGACAUCUCCCUAGCCCGUUGAGCCGCGUCGAUGUGAGACUUUCUCCUUUUUUGUCUUCUCACACAACCUCCAUCAUCAUAUUCUAUUUCACCCAUAGUGCUAUAUCCAUGGCUUGCGGUCAUGUAUUGCAUGAGGGUUGAAAAGGCUGAAGUGCAUUAAAAAGUAUGAACCAAUUGCUCGGCUUGUCAUCAGGGUUGUGCAUGAUUUGAAUAUUUUGUGUGGUGAAGAUGGAGCAUAGCCAGACUAUACGAUUUUGUAGGGAUAACUUUCUUUGGCCAUGUUAUUUUGAAAAGACAUGAUUGCUUUAUUAGUAUGCUUGAAGUAUUAUUGUCUUAAUGUUAAAUGAUAGACUAUUGCUUUGAAUCACUCGUGUCUUAAUAUUCAUGCCAUGAUUAGAGUAUGUGAUCAAGAUUAUGCUAGGUAGCAUUCCACAUCAAAAAUUAUCUUUUUUAUCAUUUACCUUCUCAAGGACGAGCAGGAAUUAAGCUUGGGGAUGCUGAUACGUCUCCGUCGUAUCUAUAAUUUUUUAUUGUUCCAUGCCAAUAUUAUGCAACUUUCCUAUACUUUUGGCAACUUUUUAUACUAUUUUUGGGACUAACAUAUUGAUCCAGUGCCCGGUGCCAGUUCCUGUUUGUUGCAUGUUUUUUGUUUCACAGAAAAUCCAUAUUAAACGGAGUCCAAACGGGAUAAAAACUGACGGAGAUUUUUUUGGAAUAUAUGUGAUUUUUGGGAAGAAGAAUCAACGUGAUACGAUGCCCGAGGGGGCCACGAGGCAGGGGGCGCGCCUGAGGGGGUCAGGCGCGCCCUGGGCCCUCGUGGCCACCCCGUAAGGUGGUUGGUGUCCUUCUUUCACUGCAAGAAAGCUAAUAUCCGGAUAGAGAUCGUGUCCAAAAUUCAGCCCAACCGGAGUUAGGGAACUCCGGGAAUUUAAGAAACGGUGAAAGGGCAGAAUCAGGGAACGCAGAAACAGAGAGAGACAGAGAGACAGAUCCAAUCUCGGAGGGGCUCUCGCCCCUCCCAUGCUAUGGAGACCAUGGACCAGAGGGGAAACCCUUCUCCCAUCUAGGGAGAAGGUCAAGGAAGAAGAAGAAGGAGGGGGGCUCUCUCCCCCUCGCUUCUGGUGGCACCGGAGUGCCGCCGGGGCCAUCAUCGUCACCGCAAUCUACACCAACAACUUCACCGCCGUCAUCACCAACUCUUCCCCCUCUAUGCAGCAGUGUAACCCCUCUUUUACUUGCUGUAAUCUCUACUUAAACAUGGUGCUCAACGUUAUAUAUUAUUUCCCAAUGAUGUAUGGCUAUCCUAUGAUGUUUGAGUAGAUCUGUUUUGUCCUAUGGGUUAAUUGAUGAUCGUGAUUGGUUUGAGUUGCAUGUUUUAUUAUUGGUUCUGUCCUAUGGUGCUCUCCGUGUCGCACAAGCAUGAGGGAUCCUCGCUGUAGGGUUUGUAAUAUGUUCAUGAUUUGCUUAUGGUGGGUGGCGUGAGUGACAGAAGCACAUACCCAAGUAAGUAGGUUGUUUGCGUAUGGGAGUAAAGAGGACUUGAUGCCUUAUAAUGCUAUGGUUUGGUUUUACCUUAAUGAUCUUUAGUAGUUGCGGAUGCUUGCUAGAGUUCCAAUCAUAAGUGCAUAUGAUCCAAGAAGAGAAAGUAUGUUAGCUUAUGCCUCUUCCUCAAAUAAAAUUGCAAUAAUGAUUACCGGUCUAGUUAUCGAUUGCCUAGGGACAAAUAACUUUCUCGUGACAAAAAGCUCUUUACUAAAACUAAUUUAGUUGUCUCCUUAUCUAAACAGCCCCUACUUUUUAUUUACGCGCUCUUUAUAUUCUUGCAAACCUAUCCAAAAAUACCUACAAAGUACUUCUAGUUUCAUACUUUUUCUAGGUAAAGCGAAUGUUAAGCGUGCGUAGAGUUGUAUCGGUGGUCGAUAGAACUUCAGGGAAUAUUUGUUCUACCUUUAGCUCCUCAUUGGGUUCGACACUCUUACUUAUCGAAAGAGGCUACAAUUGAUCCCCUAUACUUCUGGGCUUAUCAGUGCUCAUUUGACCUCGAUCGUGCCAGCUAGGGUUUUUUCAUGAAAAUGACCAUAGACCAAGUUUAGUAUUUUCCUUGUUAGUUUGUCUUAUAAAACGACGAACGGCGAAGGUUUCAUAUUUUUCUGAUAUUUUUUAAAUUACUUAUGCUCAGUCAAAGCCUUCGAAACCCCGUUGACCAGCUCAAAACCCCUCUAAACCCCGCGGGGUUUCGCCUAACCCUAGCUCCCAACGUCUGCCGUCCGAUCAUACCCUCGCGCCAAGCAAAAGCCCUCAGAUCUGGCCUUCUAGAAGGAAUUAGGUGGGCUGGCUGUGUGCAGGCUCCGCGCCGUUGGAUCACAAGGACGGCUCCGCAUCGUUCGAUCGUGGGGCGAUCCGCGAGAGGCGAUCCUAUUGGCUGUGCUCAGCUGCUCGCCCACCACUGACUCCGUGAAAAAAAAUGUUGUUAUUGGGCCCAAAAGGAAACCAAGCUCUGGUUGGGCCGUCGAAUUGCGUCGUUUUUUUGCAUCGUUUGCUCUGUUUUGUGAACGUGCUGGCUCUGUAUUUUUGCAUCGUUUUUUGCAUCAUUUGCUCUGUUUUUGCAUCAUUCUUUUUGUUCUAUACAAAUGUAAAAUGACCAAAUUUAUAAGGGCUAAAUUUAAUUUUAUCAUGUAAAAUAGCCACAAACUAUCAAAAAAAUGGGUCAUUUUGCAUUUGUAUAAUGGCCACAAGCCCUCUAUCUCUUUUUAUCAUGCAAAAUGACCAAAUUUUUAAGGGCCAAAUUAUUUUUAUCAUUCAAGAUGGCCACAAGCUCUUCAAAAAUUGUCUCUUUUGUUCAUAUAAUAUAGGGUUUGACCACGGAUUCCCACGCAUGCAAUUAGCUUGUUUUUCUUCUUCUUUUCAAACCACCUUUUCCCACGCGUGUACACUCCCGAUGCCGCGGUGGGUUUGAAAACGGGCUACUAACUUCACAUUUGACCCCGUUAUUACCAUGGCCAAAUAACACGUAGCACUACGGCUAUUUAAGCCACCCUCUGCCUCUGCCAUCCCUCAUCCAUCUGCCCUUCUCUUCGACCCCUUCUCCGUCUUCUGCACAUCCCUCAGCCAUGCAGUACACCGGACCAACCUACCGCUUCCCACCCACCGUGCCGGAGAGGCCCUACCCUACGGGCGUGUACGUUGAUCGCACACUACGUGUGUGGGCGAUAUCUAGGCUGAGGACCGCAAGGAACUUCACCGAGUUCUUCCUCGCGUCUGGCUACCACCACCUCCCUAGGGGAUCUCCAAUGAUGUUCCACGUCGAGGAGGUCAUCCAAAACCGGGUGGUGGUUGCUCUCCUUGCCCACUUCACCAAGACAUUCGACGCCUUCUACCUCCUCGGCCAGGUGUUUUGGUGUGGCUCCGAGUUCAUCGCUUUCACCACCCACAACAGGUUCACGGAGUACAACAACAUUUUCCCCACCGCGACGCGCAUGCACACUCUUCCGUACCCCAUUGACAACGCCCCGGAGGAGCAGUGAAAAGGGCGCCCGGAGGAGGGGUGAGGUGGAGAAGGCGGCGGCUAGGGUUCUAAACCCUCUAUCUUUUUUAGUCUAUGUUAUGUUAAGUUGUAAUUGAACUAUGUUGGAGUUGCUAUGGGCUUGUUGGCCCUUUUCUUAAAUUCUAUUAUUAAGUUCUUCCUAGUUUGAGCUAUGUGAUCGUGCUAUGGGCUUGUUGGCCCUAUCUACAUAUUGGGACUGCAUAUUUGUUGAUUAUUUUCUUAGAGAGCUCGGCUUGUCAGUAGGGGUUCCCUUGUUAGUAACCACCUAGCUAGUGCAUGCAAGCAAGCUUUGUUAGUAGGGAUGAAUGAGUACAACUAAGCAAGGGAGUGGCUCUUUUUUAACACAAGCCACAAAUAUGUAGCCACCUAGCUAGAAGAGAGAAACCAGCAGCAGUGACCGUCGCUGCAUCCGUGGCAGCUAGCGUGCAAGAAAGCUGCUCGAUCAGUGCAUCGUGGCAGACGCAUCGGCGCAUGCAGGCUCGGUCGGCGCAUCAUGGGAUCGUGGCAUCGGCGCGUGCAGGCUUGAUCGACGCAUGCAUGCAGGAUUUGCUGGGUGCACGCAUAGCAGGCUUCUGUCCUGGCGGCGCGCAGAUGUUUAAUGCAAGGGACGGCCCAACGAAACCAUGACCCAAUGGUCGAACAACGACACCACCCAACGCGGCAUAGUCAAGCCUUUGACCCGACGACAACGUCCGUUGUGCCCAGUUAUGAGGGUUUCUGGCAAGGUGUAACACCCCGGAUGUAACUUGCCAUAUUUGGAACUUCGACUCUUGCCAUUUUCGACUUUAAGUUAUGAGAUACCCUUUGUGGUUGGGUUUUGUCUUCGUUUUGCAUUUUGUUCAUGUCAUGCAUUUCAUUCCGUGUCAUCAUGUGCAUCACAUUUGCAUACGUGUUCGUCUCAUGCAUCCGAGCUUUUUCCCCGUUGUCCGUUUCGCAGUCCGACACUCCCACAUGCACCGGCGCACCCCUCUUAUCUUUUUUUGUGAGCGGGUGUUAAACGUUCUCGGAAUGGACCGAGAUUUGCCAAGUGGCCUUGGUACACCACCGGUAGACCGCCUGCCAAAUUUCGUGCCAUUUGGAGUCCAUUUGAUACUCCAACGGUUAACCGGGGAACCGUAAAGGCCUCGUGUGUGUUGCAGCCCAGCACCCCUCCAAAACGGCCCAAUAACCCUUCCAAACCACUCCCAUGUCCCCCGUCGUCGGAUCACGAUCGCGUGGUCGAAAACUACACCCCAUUUGGACACUCCUAACUCCCUCUACCUAUAAAAAGAGCUUCUCCUCCGAAAUUUCGGGCAAAACCCUAGUCUCCCCCUUCCUCCACGCGCCGGACACGUCCGCCCGGCACCGGACACGUCCUCCGCCGUCCCCUCGUCCAAUUGCUGCGCGCCACGUCAACGGGCCGCGCCCCACUUCGCCGCCCGCCGCCGCCGGCCCGCUCGGCCCGUGCGGGGCCCCCGCGGNNNNNNNNNNNNNNNNNNNNNNNNNNNNNNNNNNNNNNNNNNNNNNNNNNNNNNNNNNNNNNNNNNNNNNNNNNNNNNNNNNNNNNNNNNNNNNNNNNNNNNNNNNNNNNNNNNNNNNNNNNNNNNNNNNNNNNNNNNNNNNNNNNNNNNNNNNNNNNNNNNNNNNNNNNNNNNNNNNNNNNNNNNNNNNNNNNNNNNNNNNNNNNNNNNNNNNNNNNNNNNNNNNNNNNNNNNNNNNNNNNNNNNNNNNNNNNNNNNNNNNNNNNNNNNNNNNNNNNNNNNNNNNNNNNNNNNNNNNNNNNNNNNNNNNNNNNNNNNNNNNNNNNNNNNNNNNNNNNNNNNNNNNNNNNNNNNNNNNNNNNNNNNNNNNNNNNNNNNNNNNNNNNNNNNNNNNNNNNNNNNNNNNNNNNNNNNNNNNNNNNNNUCCGCCGCCCCGGCGACCUUCGCUCCCCGCCGCCGAGAGCGCCUCGCCGCGCGCCACCUCGCCGCCCAGCGCCGCCCCCUCGUCGUUCGCGCCCGGAUCCGGCGAGAUCCGCCCCGGAGCUGCCUCGCCGGCGCCUCCCCGCACUUCUCCGGUGACAUCUCCGGCCAACCUCGGUUUCCGUGCGAGGAACCCUAGAUCCAUUUCGGAGGGGUAUAAUUUCUCCAAGUCUUUUCUGUGAUACAUUUUAUGCCCCUGUUCUUCAUGCCAUAACUCCCCGUAGCUCUGUUUCAUGCGCAUGAUAUGUCAAAAUGUUCAUUGUGAGAUGCUCUUCAUUUCGUUUCAUUGUGGCAUGCUUGUUUGAGUUCAUCUUGAUGCCCAAAUCAUUGAUGCAAGAGGGCUAUAAAAUGUUUACUGCUGCUACUUAUCAGAUUAUGGCGAUUUGUCAUUUUUGUUGCAUUUUAUGUGAGCAUUAUAUGAGCAUGAGCUCUACAUGUGUUUUGAUCUAUGCCAUGCCAUAUUUACAGGGGUGCUUGCCAUAUAUUUUUGUGAUCAUUGUGGUGACUAGCACAAGCAUGCAAAGUAGUCUUCGUGAUAUUGCUGAUUUCAGGGUCUUAGGAUUUUGCAAAGUCCUUGUUCUGCUGUUAUUUUGAUGCCAUGUAAACUUGAUGCUACAGCAAAAUCCAUGCUUUUUUGGGGAUACUUCAGUAAGGAUGUUUGAACAUAUGAUUAUGCUCUAUCCAUCCAUGCCCUUUUUGGAAUUAUGGAGUGCCCUAGCAUGUCUUGUUCUUGCUCUACUUUUGCUAUAAAAUGUUCCUCGCAGAUUGUUUACAUGUUAAUCAAUUUUUCCACGGUUGUUGCUAGUGAUCCAUGCAUGAUAUGAACUUUCUCUUGCCAUGGUUAGCUUCCUGAGCAUGUCAUCUUGCUAUUAGUAUGCUUGUUUUGUCAUGAAAGGUCUUGUGAUGAGUGUUUUCAGCUCGCAAAGUUGCCUUCAUGAUGCUGUAUAUGCCUUGCUCUGUUUUCUGCAAAGUAUGGAACUGUUAAUAAAACUUGCUAUGUUUAUAUGGGUGCCAUCAUAUCUUCUGUGCCAUUUUUGCUCAUGAUCACUAAGGGACUUUUGUUCUAUGCAUUUAGUAGAUUCAUGCCAAGCCUUCAUUUGCUAUUAUAUGUUCCUGUAGCAUGUUGUUUGCUUGCUCUAAACAUGGCUUCCUGAUGUUAUUUCUGGCAUGUUAGUAUUUUCACCAAGUCUGUGAAGCUGAUAUCUUUUGCACUUUUUCCAUGCUUGUUUGAACCUGCUCUGGUGUGAUUUAGCCGUAGCUCAGUGUUCAUAUUUUGUCAAGCAUCUUGAGUGCAUCACUUCCAUAUGACUUAUUGAUAUGUUGGAGUGCAGUAGCUUAGUUUCUUGUUGUAUGCUAAGUGGCAUCAUGCUGUUAAUCGCAUAAUUGUGCCAUCCUUGUUUUUCUUGCCAUUCGCAAACCGUGCAUCCGAUUCCGGUGAUCUUUAUAUCGAUUUCAACCGAAAUCAUCUCAUCUUUCCAGAGGCAUACUUGGUUUGCCAAGUUGAUGCCUUGUUCAUCUUUUCCCUUCCGGAGCACGCAUAUGCAUUGCAUAUCACAUCUCGCAUAUCAUGUCAUGUAUUGCAUCAUGUUGCUUGUGCAUUGCAUCGUGAUUGAUUGUUGGUCAUUUGCUUGUUUUUGCUUUGGGUAGAGCCGGGAGACGAGUACGUGAAUGAGGAACCUGUUGAGAACGCUUACGAGAAUCAAGCUUUCGACAACUCUGAGAACUUUGCAGGCAAGAUGAACAUACCCUCGAAAUCACUUCUAUCUUUGCUUGCUAGUUGUUCGCUUUAUUGCUAUGCCGCGCUACCUACCACUUGCUAUAUCAUGCGUCCCAUAUGUCCAUGUCAAGCCUCUAACCCACCUUUCCUAGCAAACCGUUGUUUGGCUAUGUUACCGCUUUUGCUCAGCCCCUCUUAUAGCGUUGCUAGUUGCAGGUGGAGAUGAAGUUGGUUCCAUGUUGGAACAUGGAUAUUUUGGGAUAUCACAAUAUCUCUUAUUUAAUUAAUGCAUCUAUAUAUUUGGUAAAGGGUGGAAGGCUCGGCCUUAUGCCUGGUGUUUUGUUCCACUCUUGCCGCCCUAGUUUCCGUCAUACCGGUGUUAUGUUCCUUGAUUUUGCGUUCCUUACGCGGUUGGGUGAUAAUGGGAACCCCUUGACAGUUCGCCUUCAAUAAAACUCCUGCAGUAAGGCCCAACCUUGGUUUUACCAUUUGCCACCUAAGCCUUUUUCCCUUGGGUUUCGCGGACUCAAGGGUCAUCUUUAUUUUAACCCCCCCGGGCCAGCGCUCCUCUGAGUGUUGGUCCGAACCGAGCAGCCUGUGGGGCCACCUCAGGGAAACUCGAGGCCUGGUUUUACUCAUAGCUUGACUUAUCCGGUGUGCCCUGAGAACGAGAUAUGUGCAGCUCCUAUUGGGAUUUGUCGGCACAUUCGGGCGUCUUUGCUGGUCUUGUUUUACCAUUGCCGAAAUGUCUUGUAACCGGGAUUCUGAGUCUGAUCGGGUCUUCCUGGGAGAAGGAAUAUCUUUCGUUGACCGUGAGAGCUUGUGAUGGGCUAAGUUGGGACACCCCUGCAGGGUAUUAUCUUUCGAGAGCCGUGCCCGCGGUUAUAUGGCAGAUGGGAAUUUGUUAAUGUCCGAUUGUAGAGAACUUGACACUUGACUUAAUUAAAAUGCAUCAACCGCGUGUGUAGCCGUGAUGGUCUGUUUUCGGCGGAGUCCGGGAAGUGAACACGGUCUUGUGUUAUGCUUGAACGUAAGUAGUUUCAGGAUCACUUCUUGAUCUUUUCUAGCUUCUCGACUGUGCAUCGCUUCUCUUCUCGCUCUCAUUUGCGUAUGUUAGCCACCAUACAUGCUUAGUGCUUGCUGCAGCUCCACCACAUUCCCCCUUUCCUACCCAUAAGCUUAAAUAGUCUUGAUCUCGCGGGUGUGAGAUUGCUGAGUCCUCGUGACUCACAGAUUCUACCAAAACAGUUGCAGGUGCCGAGGAUACCAGUGCAGGUGACGCAACCGAGCUCAAGUGGGAGUUCGACGAGGACCUUGGUCGUUACUAUGUUUCGUUUCCUGAUGAUCAGUAGUGGAGCCCAGUUGGGAUGAUCGGGGAUCUAGCUUUUGGGGUUGUCUUCUUUUAUAUUGGUUCCGUACUCGGACCUUGAUUGUACUCUGAAUGAUGUAUGUUUAAUUUAUGUAUUGUGUGACGUGGCGAUUGUAAGCCAACUCUUCAUCCCAUUCUUGUUCAUUACAUGGGAUUGUGUGAAGAUGACCCUUCUUGCGACAAAACCACCAUGCGGUUAUGCCUCCAAGUCGUGCCUCGACACGUGGGAGAUAUAGCUGCAUCGUGGGCGUUACACAAGGGAGUGGGGAAAAAUUGAGCAAAAGUUAAGGCGACCACCACACCUUUACAAUCUUCUCCGAAGCACACCACAACCACGGAAGCUUCCGGAGGAACUUGACCACCUAGGCCACUUCACACCCUUCCCCGGAGCACACCACAAAAGGAAGCUUCCGGAGUAACCUUGGCCACCUAGGCCUCUUCACAAACUUCUCAAAGAUAUCACCAAACCGUCUAGGAAGCGAAGCCUCCAAGAGUAAUAAACUCACGGGCUCUCACUAGAACAAAUCGAUGUGGGGAGCUCAAAACAAUGCAACAAAUGCAAUGCAAGGUCAAGCAACAAAUGCUCAACUCACUCUCUCAAUCUCACAAGAUGCAACUCAAGAAAGUGGAAGAUUGAAGAGAGGGGAUGCAAUGGAGGAAAUCAACAAAUGACUCCAAGAUCCAUCCACAAAUCCCCCUUCACUUAGAGGGGAUAUAGGGGUUUGGGAGAAGUGGUAAGAGGCCCAAAAUGAUGUUUAGAAUGUGAAUGAACAGCCCCCCAACCGGUGGGAGGAAGGAGCCCUUAAAUAGCCAAAACCCAAAACUAGUCGUUAGGGCUCAACGGGUAGUUCCUGGACACCCCGUGCCCAUGGGGGUUUAGACCCCGUGCUCACGGGGUCCCGUGCGCACGGUACAAGCCCGUACACACGGGGCCCCGUGCCCACGGGGUACCCAGGACAGCCUGCAGCAGCCCACUAAAACAUGCAUAACUUUGGUAUACGAACUCCGAAUUUGAUGGUCUUGGGCUCGUUUUAAAGCUAUGGAAAAGCCCAAGGUCGUCACAUAGAGAACCACCCAAGAUCAACCAAAAAUAAUGAUGCAAAUUAUGCAAAGGUUUGAGCUCUCUUUUUGCGACGUGAUCAAGCUACUCACCCGAAAGUCCCUCUUGAUAGUACGGCUAUCAUACCUAUAAUCCGGUCUCUCUCCAAGCACCAUGAGACCGGAAAAACUAGGAAAACCUAGCUAAGGUAUACCUUUUCCUUGCACAUUCAACUUGAGCUUGGUGAUGACUUUGAUGCUUGCCUCAAGUUGGAAUAUUUUUAUUGUCCACAAUCACUUGGUGAACAUACUCGAAAUGCUUCCUCAUAUUGCAAUGAGGGAAGCCUUAACUUAAGCCCAUAUUCACAUGCACAUUAUCAUGAUGUGGAACGCAAACUUCAAAGCAUAUAACCUCUGGCUUCUCAUCUUGCACUUGGACUCCUCGAACCCGAUGACCAUCACCACUUGAUGUCAUCCACACAUAGGCUACUUGAAAUAUCUCUCUUUUGAUGCAAGCCCAUGAGAACCACCUAACCCACACAAACAUAGAAAGCACAUAGCAUGGGUUAGCUAGCAAAGCAUAAUUCACAAUUACUUACCAUACCAGUAGAUCACUUGAUCCCACGUGAUACAAAGAUUGCGCUUUGAGAGUUGACCAUCUAAAUAACCAUCGAGCUUCAUCUUGGUCAACCAACAUCUUUACUUCAUGACCCAUCUUGGUUUCUUGAAAGCCACAAUGAACUCUUCAUUUCCCUUUAUUGCUUCAAGAAAGAGAUCACCAAAGACUCUUUCAUGACCAUAUCAAGUUUCACUAAGAAUAUCAUAUUGGUCAUCAUUUGCUCUCUAAAAACUCCAUUGUAAUCUCUUGAGAGGCACAAUGAAUUCUUCACUCUAGUUGCUUGCUUCAAGACUUGAUCAACCGAAAACCCAACACAUGAGCUUAUCAUGAUCUUGUGUUGAAACCAUAACUUGAAUUCUUCUAUUUGAUUAUACUCUCAAGCUCUUGAUCCUUAAAAUCCCACAUAUGUCAAUCUUUGAGAUCCUCUAACGAACUCCACCUUGAAUAUAGUUGGUUAGACAUUAAAAUCCAUCUUGAUGGCUUCAACAUAAAUUCCCAAAGACCAACUUGACACCUUACUGGAUAUGUGACCUCGAGUGCCAAAACCUAGGCCCCGUGUGCACGGGGGUCAUGGACCCCGUGUGCCCGGGGUAUCCAGAGAGUUGACACUCGACCCCGUGCGCACGGGGUAUCCAGAGAGGGAUACCAUGAGGACUUCUUCGAAUGUUUUGAUGGCAUUCUUCCCACAUAAAUCCAACAUGCCUCAUGCAUCACUAUGGAACAUUUCUUCAUAUAGGAUUCAAUGCACUUGAUGCUCCAUAGGAAUUUGUCAAUUAAUACCAACACUUAGAGCAACCAUAUCUUCAUAUAUAUGGACUUUAUCAUUGAUUCCAUCUAAUAUCCUUGAUGCACCAUCUAUGAACAAUCCCUUCAAAUAUAUCUCAAUGAAAUCAUUAGUCCAAAGAGAUUGUCAUUAAUUACCAAAACAACACUUAGGGCUACAUGCCCUUUCAGCUUCUCUCGAGAAAAAUAUCAAACGGUGGGUAAACAAAUUACUGUUGGGUAAUUGAUAGAACUUGAAAUAAUCAUGACGAUAUCUAGGCAAUGAUCAUUACAUAGGGAUCACGUCCAAGAUUAGUAGACCGACUCCUGCGUGCAUCUACUACUAUUACUCCACACAUUGACCGCUAUCCAACAUGCAUCUAGUGUAUUAAGUUCAUGGAAAAAUGGAGUAAUGCAAUAAGAACGAUGACAUGAUGUGGACAAGAUCCGUUUAUCUAUAUGGCGGUAGAUAUAGAUCUUUUUUUUAUCCUUAGUAGCAAUGAUACAUACGUGUCGGUUCCCCUUUUGUCACUGGGAUCGAGCAUCGUAAGAUCGAACCCACUACUGGGCACCUCUUUCCAUUGCAAGAUAAAUAGAUCAAGUUGGCCAAACAAAACCCAAAUAUCGGAGAAGAAAUAUGAGGCUAUAAGAGAUCAGGCAUAUAAGAGAUCAAAAAACUCAAAUAACUUUCAUGGAUAUAAAAAGAUAUAACUGAUCAUAAACUCGAAGUUCAUCAUAUCCCAACAAACACACCGCAAAAGAGUUACAUCAUAUAGGUCUCAAGAGACCAUUGUAUUGAGAAUUCAGCGAGAGAGAGAAGGCCAUCUAACUACUAACUACGGACCCGAAGGUCUACAAAGAACUACUUGAAGGAAAUAUGCCCUAGAGGCAAUAAUAAAGUUAUUAUUUAUUUCCUUAUUUCAUGAUAAAUGUUUAUUAUUCAUGCUAGAAUUGUAUUAACCGGAAACAUGAUACAUGUGUGAAUACAUAGACAAACAGAGUGUCACUAGUAUGCCUCUACUUGACUAGCUUGUUGAUCAAAGAUGGUUAAGUUUCCUAACCAUAGACAUGAGUUGUCAUUUGAUAAACAGGAUCACAUCAUUAGGAGAAUGAUGUCAUUGACUUGACCCAUUCCGUUAGCUUAGCACUUGAUCGUUUAGUAUGUUGCUAUUGCUUUCUUCAUGACUUAUACAUGUUCCUACGACUAUGAGAUUAUGCAACUCCCGAAUACCGGAGGAACACUUUGUGUGCUACCAAAUGUCACAAUGUAACUGGGUGAUUAUAAAGGUGCUCUACAGGUGUUUCCAAUGGUACUUGUUGAGUUGGCAUAGAUCGAGAUUAGGAUUUGUCACUCCGAUUGUCGGGGAGGUAUCUCUGGGCCCUCUCGGUAAUGCAUGUCACUAUAAGCCUUGCAAGUAAUGUGACUAAUGAGUUAGUUGCGGGAUGAUCAUUAUGGAACGAGUAAAGACACUUGCCGGUAACGAGAUUAAACUAGGCAUUGAGAUACCGACGAUCGAAUCUCGGGCAAGUAACAUACCGAUGACAAAGGGAACAACGUAUGUUGUUAUGCGGUUUGACCGAUAAAGAUCAUCAUAGAAUAUGUAGGAGCCAAUAUGAGCAUCCAGCUUCCGCUAUUGGUUAUUGACCGGAGACGUGUCUCGGUCAUGUCUACAUAGUUCUCGAACCCGUAGGGUCCGCACACUUAACAUUCGGUGACGAUCGGUAAUAUGAGUUUAUAUGUUUUGAUGUAACGAAGGUAGUUCGGAGUCUCGGAUGAGAUCGGGGACAUGACGAGGAGUCUCGAAAUGGUUGAGGCGUAAAGAUCGAUAUAUUGGACGACUAUAUUCGGACAUCGGAAAGGUUCCGAGUGAUUCGGGUAUUUUUCGGAGUACCGGAGAGUUACGGGAAUUCGCCGGGGAGUAUAUGGGCCUUAUUGGGCUUUAGGGGAAAGAGAGAGGGGAGGCUGCGCACCCCCCAAGGCUUAGUCCGAAUUGGACUAGGGGGAGGGGCGGCGCUCCCUCCUUCCUUCUCUUCUCUUUUCCCUUUCCUUCUCUCCUACUCCUACUACUUGGAAGGGCUCCUAGUUCUACUAGGAAAGGGGAAAUCCUACUCCCGGUGGGAGUAGGACUCCCCUAGGGCGCGCCAUAGAGAGGGCUGGCCCUCCCCCUCCUCCACUCCUUUAUAUACGGGGAGGGGGGCACCCCAUAGACUCACAAGUUGAUCAUUGAUCUCUCUUAGCUGUGUGCGGUGCCCCUCUCCACCAUAAUCCACCUCGGUCAUAUCGUAGCGGUGCAUAGGCGAAGCCCUGCGUCAGUAGCAUCAUCAUCACCAUCAUCACGCUGUCGUGCUGACAGAACUCUCCCUCGAAGCUCUGCUGGAUCGGAGUUCGUGGGACGUCAUCGAGCUGAACGUGUGCUGAACUCGGAGGUGCCGUGUGUUCGGUACUUGGAUCGGUCGGAUCGUGAAGACGUACGACUACAUCAACCGCGUUGUCAUGACGCUUCCGCUUUCGGUCUACGAGGGUACGUGGAUACACUCUCCCCUCUCGUUGCUAUGCAUCACCAUGAUCUUGCGUGUGCGUAGGAAAUUUUUGAAAUUACUACGUUCCCCAACAGUGGCAUCCGAGCCAGGUUUAUGCGUAGAUGUUAUAUGCACGAGUAGAACACAAGUGAGUUGUGGGCGAUAUAAGUCAUACUGCUUACCAGGAUGUCACACUUUGGUUCGGCGGUAUUGUUGGAUGAAGCGGCCCGGACCGACAUUACGCGUACGCUUACGCGAGACUGGUUUUACCGCCGUGCUUUGCACACAGGUGACUAGCGCGUGUCAGUUUCUUCAACUUUAGUUGAAUCGAGUGUGGCUACGCCCGGUCCUUGAGAAGGUUAAAACAGCACUAACUUGACAAACUAUCAUUAUGGUUUUGAUGCGUAGGUAAGAACGGUUCUUGCUCAGCCUGUAGCAGUCACGUAAAACUUGCAACAACAAAGUAGAGGACGUCUAACUUGUUUUUGCUGGACAUGUUGUGAUGUGAUAUGGUCAAGACAUGAUGCUAAAUUUUAUUGUAUGAGAUGAUCAUGUUUUGUAACAGAGUUAUCGGCAACUUGCAGGAGCCAUAUGGUUGUUGCUUUAUUGUAUGCAAUGCAAUCGCCCUGUAAUUGCUUUACUUUAUCACUAAGCGGUAGCGAUAGUCGUAGAAGCAAUAGUUGGCGAGACGACAACGAUGCUACGAUGGAGAUCAAGGUGUCGCGCCGGUGACGAUGGUGAUCAUGACGGUGCUUUGGAGAUGGAGAUCAAAGGCACAAGAUGAUGAUGGUCAUAUCAUAUCACUUAUAUUGAUUGCAUGUGAUGUUUAUCUUUUAUGCAUCUUAUUUUGCUUAGAUCGACGGUAGCAUUAUAAGAUGACCUCUCACUAAAUUUCAAGGUAUAAGUGUCCUCCCUGAGUAUGCACCGUUGCGAAAGUUCGUCGUGCCGAGACACCACGUGAUGAUCGGGUGUGAUAAGCUCUAUGUUCACAUACAACGGGUGCAAGCCAGUUUUGCACACGCAGAAUACUCGGGUUAAACUUGACGAGCCUAGCAUAUGUAGAUAUGGCCUCGGAACACUGGAGACCGAAAGGUCAAGCGUGAAUCAUGUAGAAGAUAUGAUCAACAUAGUGAUGUUCACCAUUGGAAACUACUCCAUCUCACGUGAUGAUCGGACAUGGUUUAGUUGAUAUGGAUCACGUGAUCACUUAGAUGAUUAGAGGGAUGUCUAUCUAAGUGGGAGUUCUUAAGUAAUAUGAUUAAUUGAACUUUAAUUUAUCAUGAACUUAGUCCUCGUAGUAUUAGCAUAUCUAUGUUGUAGAUCAAUAGCUCGCGUUUAGCUCCCCUGUUUUAUUUUUGAUAUGUUCCUAGAGAAAAAUAAAGUUGAAAGAUGUUAGUAGCAAUGAUGCGGAUUGGACCCGUGAUCUGAGGAUUAUCCUCAUUGCUGCACAGAAGAAUUAUGUCCUUGAUGCACCGCUAGGUGAUGGACCUAUUGCAGGAGCAUAUGCAGACGUUAUGAACGUUUUUGGCAAAAGCUCGGUAUGAUGACUACUUGAUAGUUUAGUGCACCAUGAUUUACGGCUUAGAAUCGGGGCUUCAAAUACGUUUUGAACGCCACGGAGCAUAUGAGAUGUUCCAAGAGUUGAAAUUAGUAUUUCAAACUCAUGCCCAUGUCGAAAGGUAUGAGACCUUUGACAAGUACUUUGCCUACAAGAUAGAGGAGAAUUGCUCAGCUAGUGAGCAUGUGCUCAAAAUGUCUGAGUACUACAAUCACUUGAAUCAAGUGGGAGUUAAUCUUCCAGAUAAGAUAGUGAUUGAUAGAGUUCUCUAGUCACUAUCACCAAGUUACUAGAACUUCGUGAUGAACUAUAAUAUGCAAGGGAUAACAGAAACGAUUCCCAGAGCUCUUCGUGAUGUUGAAAUCGACGAAGAUAGAAAUCAAGAAAAGCAUCAAGUGUUGAUGGUUGACAAGACCACUAGUUUCAAGAAAAGGGCAAAGGGAAGAAGGGGAACUUCAAGAAGAACGGCAAGCAAGUUGCUGCUCAAGUGAAUAAACCCAAGUCUGGACCUAAGCCAGAGACUGAGUGCUUCUACUGCAAAGGGACUGGUCACUGGAAGCGGAACUGCCCCAAGUAUUUGGCGGAUAAGAAGGAUGGCAAAGUGAACAAAGGUAUAUUUGAUAUACAUGUUAUUGAUGUGUACUUUACUAGUGUUUAUAGCAACCCCUCGGUAUUUGAUACUAGUUCAGUUGCUAAGAUUAGUAACUCGAAACGGGAGUUGCAGAAUGAACAGAGACUAGUUAAGGGUGAAGUGACGAUGUGUGUUGGAAGUAGUUCCAAGAUUGAUAUGAUCAUCAUCGCACACUCCCUAUACUUUCGGGAUUAGUGUUGAACCUAAAUAAGUGUUAUUUGGUGUUUGCGUUGAACAUGAAUAUGAUUUGAUCAUGUUUAUUGCAAUACGGUUAUUCAUUUAAGUUAAAGAAUAAUUGUUGUUCUGUUUACAUGAAUAAAACCUUGUAUAGUCAUACACCCAACAAAAAUGGUUUGUUGGAUCUCGAUAGUAGUGAUACACAUAUUUAUAAUAUUGAAGCCAAAAGAUGCAGAGUUGAUAAUGAUAGUGCAACUUAUUUGUGGCACUGCCGUUUAGGUCAUAUUGGUGUAAAGCGCAUGAAUAAAAUCCAUGCUGAUGGGCUUUUGGAAUCACUUGAUUAUGAAUCAGUUGAUGAUUGCGAACCAUCCUCAUGGGCAAGAUGACUAAGACUCCGUUCUCCGGAACAAUGGAGCGAGCAACGGACUUGUUGGAAAUAAUACAUACUGAUGUAUGCAGUCCGAUGAGUGUUGAGGCUCGCGGCAGGUAUCAUUAUUUUCCGACCUUCACCGAUGAUUUGAGAAGAUAUGGGUAUAUCUACUUGAUGAAACAUAAGUCUGAAACAUUUGAAAAGUUCAUAUAAUUUCAGAGUGAAGUGGAAAAUCAUCGUAACAAGAAAAUAAAGUUUCUACGAUCUGAUCGUGGAGGAGAAUAUUUGAGUUACGAUUUUGGUCUUCAUUUGAAACAAUGCAGAAUAGUUUCGCAACUCACGCCACCUGGAAUACCACAGCGUAAUGGUGUGUCUGAACAUCAUAACCGUACUUUAUUAGAUAUGGUGCAAUCUAUGAUGUCUCUUACCGAUUUACCACUAUCGUUUUGGGGUUAUGCAUUAAAGAUAGCUGCAUUCACAUUAAAUAGGACACCAUCUAAAUCCGUUGAGACGACACCAUAUGAAUUGUGGUUUGGCAAGAAACCAACGUUGACGUUUCUUAAAGUUUGGGGUUGCGAUGCUUAUGUGAAAAGUUUCAUCCUGAUAAGCUCAAACCCAAAUCGGAGAAUUGUGUCUUCAUAGGAUACCCAAAGGAGGCAGUUGGGUACACCUUCUAUCACAGAUCCGAAGGCAAGACAUUCAUUGCUAAGAAUGGAUCCUUUCUAGAGAAGGAGUUUCUCUCGAAAGAAGUGAGUGGGAGGAAAGUAGAACUUGAUGAGGUAAAUGUACCUGCUCCCUUAUUGGAAAGUAGUUCAUCAGAGUAAUCUGUUUCUCUGACCCUACACCAAUUAGUGAGGAAGCUAAUGAUGAUGAUCAUGUAACUUCAGAUCAAGUUACUACCGAAUCUCGUAGGUCAACCAGAGUAAGAUCCGCACCAGAGUGGUUCGAUAAUCCUGUUCUGGAAGUCAUGUUACUUGACCAUGACGAACCUACGAACUAUGAGGAAGCGAUGAUGAGCCCAGAUUCCGCGAAAUGGCUUGAGGCCAUGAAAUCUGAGAUGGGAUCCAUGUAUGAGAACAAAGUGUGGACUUUGGUUGACUUGCCCAAUGAUCAGCAAGCCAUAGAAAAUAAAUGGAUCUUCAAGAGGAAGACGGACGCUGAUAGUAGUGUUACUAUCUACAAAGCUAGACUUGUUGAAAAAAGGUUUUUGACAAAGUUCAAGGUGUUGACUACGAUGAGAUUUUCUCACUCGUAGCGAUGCUUAAGUCUGUCCGAAUCAUGUUAGCAAAUUACCACAUUUUAUGAAAUCUGGCAAAUGGAUGUCAAAACUACAUUCCUUAAUUGAUUUCUUAAACAAGAGUUGUAUAUGAUGCAACCAGAAGGUUUUGUCGAUCCUAAAGGUGCUAACAAAAUGUGCAAGCUCCAACAAUCCAUCUAUGGACUGGUGCAAGCAUCUCGGAGUUGGAAUAUACGCUUUGAUGAUUUGAUCAAAAGCAUAUAGUUUUAUACAUAUUUGUGGUGAAGCCUGUAUUUACAAGAAAGUGAGUGGGAGCACUACAUUCUUUCUGAUAAGUAUAUGUGAAUGACAUAUUGCCGAUCGGAAAUGAUGUAGAAUUUUCUGUAAAGCAUAAAGGAGUGUUUGAAAGGAGUUUUUCAAAGAAAGACCUCGGUGAAGCUGCUUACAUAUUGAGCAUCAAGAUCUAUAGAGAUAGAUCAAGACGCUUGAUAAAUUUUUUCAAUGAGUACAUACCUUGACAAGUUUUUGAAGUAGUUCAAAAUGGAACAGUCAAAGAAAGAGUUCUUGCCUGUGUUCCAAGGUGUGAAGUUGAGUAAGACUCAAAGCCCGACCACGACAGAAGAUAGAGAGAGAAUGAAAGUCAUUCCCUAUGCCUCAGCCAUAGGUUCUAUAAAGUAUGCCAUGCUGUGUACAACACCUAUUGUAUACCCUACACUGAGUUUGGCAAGGGAGUACAAUAGUGAUCUAGGAGUAGAUCACUGGACAGCGGUCAAAAUUAUCCUUAGUGGAAUAAGGAUAUGUUUCUCGAUUAUGGAGGUGGCAAAAGGUUCGUCGUAAAGGGUUACAUCGAUGCAAGUUCUGACAAUCCAGAUGACUCUAAGUCUCAAUCUGGAUACAUAUUGAAAGUGGGAGCAAUUAGCUAGAGUAGCUCCAUGCAGAGCAUUGUUGACAUAGAAAUUUGCAAAAUACAUACGGAUCUGAAUAUGGCAGACCCGUUGACUAAACUUCUCUCACAAGCAAAACAUGAUCACACCUUAGUACUCUUUGGGUGUUAGUCACAUAGCGAUGUGAACUAGAUUAUUGACUAUAGUAAACCCUUUGGGUGUUGGUCACAUGACGAUGUCAACUAUGGGUGUUAAUCACAUGGUGAUGUGAACUAUUGAUGUUAAAUCACAUGGCGAUGUGAUCUGGAUUAUUGACUCUAGUGCAAGUGGGAGACUGAAGGAAAUAUGCCCUCGAGGCAAUAAUAAAGUUAUUAUUUAUUCCCUUAUUUCAUGAUAAAUGUUUAUUAUUCAUGCUAGAAUUGUAUUAACCGGAAACAUAAUACAUGUGUGAAUACAUAGACAAACAGAGUGUCACUAGGAUGCCUCUACUUGACUAGCUCGUUGAUCAAAGAUGGUUAAGUUUCCUAACCAUAGACAUGAGUUGUCAUUUGAUAAACGGGAUCACAUCAUUAGGAUAAUGAUGUGAUUGACUUGACCCAUUCCGUUAGCUUAGCACUUGAUCGUUUAGUAUGUUGCUAUUGCUUUCUUCAUGACUUAUACAUGUUCCUAUGACUAUGAGAUUAUGCAACUCCCGAAUACCGGAGGAACACUUUGUGUGCUACCAAACGUCACAACGUAACUGGGUGAUUAUAAAGGUGCUCUACAGGUGUUUCCAAUGGUACUUGUUGAGUUGGCAUAGAUCGAGAUUAGGAUUUGUCACUCCGAUUGUCGGAGAGGUAUCUCUGGGCCCUCUCGGUAAUGCACGUCACUAUAAGCCUUGCAAGCAAUGUGACUAAUGAGUUAGUUGCGGGAUGAUGCAUUACGAAACGAGUAAAGAGACUUGCCGGUAACGAGAUUGAACUAGGUAUUGAGAUACCGACGAUCGAAUCUUGGGCAAGUAACAUACCGGUGACAAAGGGAACAACAUAUGUUGUUAUGCGGUUUGACCGAUAAACAUCUUCGUAGAAUAUGUAGGAGCCAAUAUGAGCAUCCAGGUUCCGCUAUUGGUUAUUGACCGGAGACGUGUCUCGGUCAUGUCUACCUAGUUCUCGAACCCGUAGGGUCCGCACGCUUAACGUUCGGUGACGGUCGGUAAUAUGAGUUUAUAUGUUUUGAUGUACCGAAGGUAGUUCGGAGUUCCGGAUGAGAUCGGGGACAUGACAAGGAGUCUCGAAAUGGUCGAGAUGUAAAGAUCAAUAUAUUGGACGACUAUAUUCGGACAUCGGAAAGGUUCCGAGUGAUUCGGGUAUUUCUCGGAGUACCGGAGAGUUACGGGAAUUCGCCGGGGAGUAUAUGGGCCUUAUUGGGCUUUAGAGGAAUGAGAGAGGGGAGGCUGCGCGCCCCCCAAGGCUUAGUCCGAAUUGGACUAGGGGGAGGGGCGGCGCCCCCUCCUUCCUUCUCUUCUCUUUUCCCUUUCCUUCUCUCCUACUCCUACUACUUGGAAGGGCUCUUAGUUCUACUAGGAAAGGGGGAAUCCUACUCCCGGUGGGAGUACUCCCCUAGGGCGCGCCAUAGAGAGGGUCGGCCCUCCCCCUCCUCCACUCCUUUAUAUAAGGGGGAGGGGGCACCCCAUAGAUACACAAGUUGAUCAUUGAUCUCUCUUAGCCGUGUGCGGUGCCCCCCUCCACCAAUCCACCUCGGUCAUAUCGUAGCGGUGCUUAGGUGAAGCCCUGCGUCGGUAGCAUCAUUAUCACCGUCAUCACGCCGUCGUGCUGACGGAACUCUCCCUCGAAGCUCUGCUGGAUCGGAGUUCGUGGGACGCCAUCGAGCUGAACGUGUGCUGAACUCGGAGGUGUCGUGCGUUCGGUACUUGGAUCGGUCGGAUCAUGAUGUAACGCCCACGAUGCGGCUAUAUCUCCCACGUGUCGAGGCACGACUUAGAGGCAUAACCGCAUUGUGGUUUCGUCGCAAGAAGGGUCAUCUUCACACAAUCCCAUGUAAUGAACAAGAAUGGGAUAAAGAGUUGGCUUACAAUCGCCACUUCACACAAUACAUAAAUAUAAUCCAUACAUCAUCCAAAAUACACACAUAGACCGACUACGGUCAAGAUUCAAAUGAAAAUAAGAUAACCCCAAAUGCUAGAUCCCCGAUCGUCUCAACUGGGCUCCACUACUGAUCAUCAGGAAAAGACACAUAGUAACGACCACGUUCCUCGUCGAACUCCCACUUGAGAUCGACCCCAUCAUCUGCCCUGGCAUCGUCGGCACCUGCAACUGUUUUUGGUAGAAUCUGUGAGUCACGAGGACUCAGCAAUCUCACACCCGCGAGAUCAAGACUAUUUAAGCUUGUAGGAAAGGAUGGUGUAAUGAGGUGGAGUUGCAGCGGCAAUAAACAUAUAUGGUGGCUAACAUACGCAAAAGAGAGCGAGAAGAGAAGCAACGGAACGGUCGUCAUCUAGAAAUGACCAAGAAGUGAUCCUGAACUCCUACUUACGUCAUACAUAACUCAAACCGUGUUCACUUCCCGGACUCCGCCGAGAAGAGACCAUCACGGCUACACACCCGGUUGAUGUAUUUUAUCUGGGUCAAGUGACAAGUUCUCUACAACCGGACAUCAACAAAAUUCCCAUCUGCCUCAUAACCGCGGGCACGAAGAUAAUACCCUGCAGGGGUGUCCCAACUUAGCCCAUCAUAAGCUCUCACGGUCAACGAAGGAUAAACCUUCUCCCGGAAAGACCCGAUCAGUCUCGGAAUCCCGGUUUACAAGACAUUUCGACAAUGGUAAAACAAGACCAGCAAAGCCGCCCGAAUGUGCCGACAAAUCCCGAUAGGAGCUGCACAUAUCUCGUUCUCAGGGCACACCGAAUAAGCGAAGCGUACAGGUACCAACAUAACCCAAGUUGCCAAGGGACAGUCCCGCACGGUGCUCUAGUUUGGACCAGCACUCAGAGGAACACUGGCCCGGGGGUUAAAACAAAGAUGACCCUCGGGCUCGCGAAAACCCGGGGGAAAAAGGCUUAGGUCGCAAAUGGUAAAACCAAAGUUGGGCCUUGCUGGAGGAGUUUUAUUCAAGGCGAACUGUCAAGGGGGUCCCAUAAAUCACCCAACCGCGUAAGGAACGCAAACUCAAGGAACAUAAUACCGGUAUGACAGAAACUAGGGCGGCAAGAGUGGAACAAAACACCAGGCAUAAGGCCGAGCCUUCCACCCUUUACCAAAAUAUAUAGAUGCAUUAAUUAAAUAAGAGAUAUUGUGAUAUCCCAACAUAUCCAUGUUCCGACAUGGAACAAACUUCAACUUCACCUUCAACUAGCAACGCUAUAAGAAGGGCUGAGCAAAAGCGGUAACUUAGCCAAACAAUGGUUUGCUAGGAAAGGAUGGUUAGAUGCUGACAUGGCAAUAUGGGAGGCAUGAUAUAGCAAGUGGUAGGUAGCGCAGCAUGUCAAUAGAACGAACAGCUAUCAAAGCAAAGAUAGAAGUGAUUUCGAGGGGUGGUCAUCUUGCCUGCAAGGUUCUCGGAGUUGUCGAAAGCUUGAUCCUCGUAAGCAUACUCAACAGGUUCCUCGUUCACGAACUCAUCUCCCGGAUCUACCCAAGACAAGAACACAAGAAAUGGAACCACAAUCAAUCACGAGAAAUGCACAAGCAACAUAAUGCAAAACAUGUAUGAUAUGCAAGAUAUGAUAUGCGAUGCAUAUGCGUGCUCCGGAAGGAAAAUGAUGAACAAGGUAGUAACUUGGCAAACCAAGCAUGCCACUGGAAAGAUGAGAUGAUUUCGGUCGAAAUCGAUAUAAAGAUCACCGGGAACGGAUGCACGGUUUGCAAAUGGCAAGCAAAACAAGAAUGACACGAAUCUGCGAUUAACAGCAUGAUAGCACUUAAAAUGCAACAAGUAACAAUGCUACAGCACUCCAACAUAGCAACAAAGCAUACGGAAGCAAUCUACAGGAGAUGCUUGACAAAAGAUGAACACUGAGUUACGGCUAGAUCACAACAUAACAAGCUCAAACAAGCAUGGCAAAAGUGCAAAAGAUAUCAGGUUCACAGACUUAGUGAAAUUACUGGACAUGACUGAAACAACACCAGGUAGCAAUGUUCAGAGCAUGCAAUCAACAUGCUACAGGAACUUAACAUGGCAAAGCAAGGCAUGGCAGUAUUCUAAUAAUUGCAUAUGACAAAAGUUCCUUACUGACCAUAAGCCAAAAAGGACCAGAAGAUAUGAUGGCAACCAUGUAAACAUAGCAAGUUUCGUUAACAGGUUUCAGACUUGGCAGAAAAACAGAGCAUGGCAGAAACAAUAAUAUGAAGGCAUCUUGGUGAGCUUGACGCACUCAUCACAAAGCAACGCAUGACAAGAAAAGCAUACCUACAGCAAGAUGGCAUGUUUAUGAAGCUAUCCCUGGCAAGAAAAUAAGCAUAGCAUAUAUGGAUCAACUACAGCAAGCUUGGCAAUAUUGAAUAUCAUGUUAACAAUCUGCCAGAAAUAUUUUAUAGCAAAAGUAGAGCACGAUUGAGUCAUGCUACGGCACUCCAUAAUUGCAAACAAGUGCAGGAAUGGAUCAACUACAAUAAUAUCUACAAAACAUACUUACUGAACAUCUCCAAAAUAUGCAUGGAUCUCUCUGUAGCAUCAAGUUUACAUGGCAACAAAAUAACAGCAGACAAAGACUUAGAGAAAUCACUGUCCCUGAAAUCAGAAACAUUACGGAGUCUAGUUUGCAUGCUUGUGCUAGUCACCACAGAGACCAAAAAAAUACAUGGCAUACACCACCGGAAAGAUGGCAUGGCAUAAAACAAAACACAUGUAGAGGUCAUGCCCAUAACAUGCACAGAUUAAAUGAUACAAAUAUGACAAAUCUCCAAGUUCUGCUAAGAACCAGCAGAUAACAACAACUAGCACUAUUGCACCAGAGAUUUGGGCAUCAAUAUGGCCUCUAAUGAACAUGGUGCAAUGGAACAAAAUGUAGAGCAUCAUGAGACGAACAAUUCGAUAUAUUACACGCGUGAAACGGAGCUAUAUGUAGUGAGUUAUGCCAUGAUGAACAAGGGUAUAUAAUGUGAAAAUCGAAUGACUUGGAAAAUAUCUCGGGGUCUCGGGAAAAGUCAACGCACGGUAGUUACCAGAUCCGAUCGGGGCCGGCCUCGAUGGAGCUCGCCGGAGCUAGGGGCGACGGGGCGGAGGAGGAGAUGGCCGGCCGGAGGCAGAGGAGGAAGAGGCGGCGUCGGGGAAGGAGGGCGCGGCGCCGGAGGGAGCGGGGCACGGCGGUGGACGGCGGCGGCGGGCACCNNNNNNNNNNNNNNNNNNNNNNNNNNNNNNNNNNNNNNNNNNNNNNNNNNNNNNNNNNNNNNNNNNNNNNNNNNNNNNNNNNNNNNNNNNNNNNNNNNNNNNNNNNNNNNNNNNNNNNNNNNNNNNNNNNNNNNNNNNNNNNNNNNNNNNNNNNNNNNNNNNNNNNNNNNNNNNNNNNNNNNNNNNNNNNNNNNNNNNNNNNNNNNNNNNNNNNNNNNNNNNNNNNNNNNNNNNNNNNNNNNNNNNNNNNNNNNNNNNNNNNNNNNNNNNNNNNNNNNNNNNNNNNNNNNNNNNNNNNNNNNNNNNNNNNNNNNNNNNNNNNNNNNNNNNNNNNNNNNNNNNNNNNNNNNNNNNNNGGGCCCCGCGGGCCGGCGGCGGCGGAAGGCGGCGAAGGACAGGUGUCGGCGCAGGAUUCGUUGGUCGGCGAGGGCGGACGUGUCCGGCGCGGGCGGAUUUGUCCGGCGGCGCGAGGUGGAAGACGCUAGGGUUUGAUCUGCGUAUGUAUACGGGAGGGGAUGCAUAUAUAUAGCUAGAGUGGGCUAGGAGAGUCCAAAUGAGGUGCGGUUUUCGCCCACACGAUCGUGAUCGAACGACCUAGAGCACGGAAGAGAGUUUAGUGGGUUUUGGGCUGUUUAUAGAGGGUUUUUUUGCUAGAACACACAGAAGGCAUCUGCGGAUACCCGGUUAACCGUUGGAGUACCAAACGACCUUCAAAUGGAACGAAACUUGACCGGUGGACUCCCGGUGGUAUACCAAGGCCACUUGACAAGCCUCGGUCCAUUCCGAGAACGUUUGACACCCGCUCACGAAAGAAAACAAGAGGGGUGCACCGGAGGAGAUGGGAGCGCCGAAUUGCAAAACGGACAACGGGCAAAAUGCUCGGAUGCAUGAGACGAACACGUAUGCAAAUGCAAUGCACAUGAUGACAUGAUAUGAAAUGCACGACAUGAACAAAAUGCAAAACGAAAAACAAAACCCGACCACGAAGGGAAAAACAUAACACAUAGCCGGAAAUGGCAAGAGUUGGAGUUACAAGUACGGGAAGUUACAUCCGGGGUGUUACACAUGAAGACGUACAACUACAUCAACCGCGUUGUCAUAACGCUUCCGCUUUCGGUCUACGAGGGUACGUGGACACACUCUCCCCUCUCGUUGCUAUGCAUCACCAUGAUCUUGCGUGUGCGUAGGAAUUUUUUGAAAUUACUACGUUCUCCAACACUACUCACGCAUCAUCGGAGAGGCACCAAUGGAAGUGGUGAACCCCUCCGUGAUGGUGUCUAGAUUGGAUCUGGUGGUUCUGGACUCUACGGCAGCUGGAUGAAUAUUUCGUCGACGCUUCUAGGUUUUCUUGAUUUUUGGGGUAUUUAUAGAGCAAAGAGGCGGUCCGGGGGGUACCCGAGGUGGGCACAACCCACCAAGGCACGUCAGGGCCUGCUGGCGUGCCCUGGUGGGUUGUCCCCUCCUCGGGACUCUCCCCAGGUGCAACCAGGGCCCAUCUUCUUCCUUCUGUCCCAUAAAAAAUCUCCAAAAAGUUUCGGGGCAUUUGGACUCCGUUUGAUAUUGAUUUCCUGCGAUGUAAAAAACAUGCAGAAAAUAGCAACUGGCACUGGGCACUAUGUCAAUAGGUUAAUACCAAAAAAUGAUAUAAAAUGACUAUAAAAUGAUUAUAAAACAUCCAGGAUUGAUAAUAAAACAGCAUGGAACAAUCAAAAAUUAUAAAUACGUUGGAGACGUAUCAUCAUGCCCAAGCUUAACUCCUGCUCGUCCUCGAGUAGGUAAGUGAUAAAAACAGAAUUUUUGAUGUGAAGUGUUGUUCAUCAAGUCAUAUCAUAUUCUCUUCUUUAUAGUAUGGACAUUCGGACUUUUAUGUGAUUCAAAGCAAUAGUCUAGUUUUGACAUAAUAAUUUAGAUACUCAAGCAUAUCAACAAGCAACCAUGUCUUUUAAAAUAUCAAUGCUAAAACAAGUUAUCCCUAGCCCAUCAUGCUCAAACAUUGAUCCAUUCAUGAAACACACUCGAAUAUUAGCUACACCCAAUACUUAAGUACGAUCGUAUUGCCUCUUAGUUGGUGCUUUUAUAAGAGAAGAUAGAAACUCAUAUUCAAAAUAAAAAUUGCAUAAAGUAAAAGAAAGGCCCUUCGCAGAGGGAAGCAGGGAUUUGUAGAGGUGACAGAGCUCAAAGCGAAAAAUUAGAGAUAAAAACAUUUUGGGAGGUGUAUCCAUCCCACCAACGAAAACGCCAUAGAUCUACGGACACUUUCCAUGCUAGAUAUGCCAUACGCGGUUCCCAAGCAGAAAAUAAAGUUUAUUCCUUUUUCCACCAUACUUUCGCUUUCCAUGGCUAGCCGUAUCCACGGGUGCCUUCCAUACCAACACUUUCCAAGGAAUUUAUUAUUUGACAACAUAAAGUAAAUUUAUUUUUGCAUUUCGGGACUGGGAAUCCCUAAAACCUUUGCCUUACUCUCGUGCAAUGACAAGUGAAUAAACACUCAUCAUGAGAAUAACACAUCCAGCAUGGAAAAUAUUAGCCACCUGUUACCGUUCCGCGAGUGAAACAAACACACAAAAGAGAAGUUUAUUCUGAAAAUUAGAGAUGGAACAUAAAAAAUUUCUUAGAACAGAAAAAGAAUACCUCAUAUAGGUAGAUAUAGUGGACUCAUGUGGCAAAACUGGUUUAAAGGAUUUUGGAUGCAGAAGUAGAGAUCAUACUUGGUGCAAAAUGAAGGCUAGCAAAAACAUUGAGAAGCGACCAACCAAGAAACAAAUAAUUUCGUGAAGCAAGCAUUGAGCAUAAGUAACACCGAAUAAUGCACCACAAGUAGGAUAUAAUUUUCAUUGCAUGAUUAUUGAGUUUCUUGCAUGCAUAGGGAAUCACAAACCUUAACACCAAUAUUCUUACUAAAGCACAAUUACUCAUCAACAUAGCUCACAUAUCACAUCAUCAUAUCUCAAAAUUAUUACAAGGAAUCAAGUUUAUUUUGUCCAAUGAUCUUCAUGACAUUUUUUAUUUAUUCUUCUUGGAUAUCUAUCACUUUGGGAUUAAUUUUAUGUGUUGCGUUUCAUAAGCUCAAACAAAUAUAAGUGAAGAUCCUGAGCAUAACAAAUUUUCUUUCUCUCAAAAUAAUUUAAGUGAAGCAAGAGAGAAUUUCUUUAAAAUUUUACUAACUCUCAAAUCAAUCUAAGUGAAGCAAGAGAGCAUUUCUUCAAAAAUAACAAGCACACCGUGCUCAAAAAGAUAUAAGUGAAGCACUACAGCAAGUCCUAGCUCAUAAAAGAUUUAAGUGAAGCACAGAGAGCAAUUCUAACAAGUCAUGAUAUAAUUUUGGCUCUCUCAAAUAGGUGUGUCCAGCAAGGAUUGAUGACUUAAAACAUAAAAUAAAGCAAGCAAAGACACAUAUCAUACAAGACGCUCCAAGAAAAACACAUAUCAUGUGACGAAUAAAAAUAUAGUCUCGAGUAAAAUACCGAUAGUUGUUGGAAGAAAGCGGCGAUGCCACUCGGGGGCAUCCCCAAGCUUAGUUGGUUGCUCAUUCUUGGAUAAUAGAUUGGGAUGCCGGGGCAUCCCCAAGCUUAGGCUGUUACAUCCUUCCUUCAUCCAUCAUAAGAUAACCCAAAACUUGAAAACUUCAAUCACACAAAACUCAACAAAACUUUCGUGAGAUCCGUUAGUAUAAGGAAGCAAACCACUACUAUAAGUGUUGUAUCAAACUAAUUCAUAUUUUGUUUUUGUAUUAUAUCUACUUUAUUCCAACUUUUCUAUGGCAAAAACUCAUCAAGGAAAACCAUAGAGCCAUCAAAAUAAGCACACAACACAAAGAAAACAGAAUCUGUCAAAACAGAACAGUCUGUAGUAAUCUGACUUUGACGAAUACUUAUGUAACUCCAAAAAUUCUGAAAAAAUAGGACGAUCUGGGUAAUUUGUAUAUUAAUAUUCUGCAAAGAGAAUUGGCAUUUUAUCAAGUUCUGGUGAUGUUUAACAAUUGUUUUUGUGAGCAUAAAGUUUCUGUCUUUUUCAGCAAGAUCAAACAACUAUCACCCAAGAAGAUCCUAUAGGCUUUACUUGGCACAAACACUAAUUGAAACAUAAAAAACACAAUCAUACCAGUAGCAUAAUUGUGUAAACACACAAGAACAGAAAGCAAAAAGCAAAAAUAAAUUUUAUUUAUUGGGUUGCCUCCCAACAAGCGCUAUAGUUUGACGCCCUUAGCUAGGCGUAAGGCAAGGAUCUAAGUUUUGUCAUCUUUCUUCUUCUCCUCAAUCAAACACUUAGAAUCCUUCAGAGAUUUAGCAUAAAGAUCUUCAAUAAUAAUACUCCUAGGAAUAAAUUUAAAGAACUCAUUUUUGCAAAAAGGAUCUCUAAUCACUUCAGCAAAAUCCGAAUGGAUACUAAUCAUCUUAAGAUCCUCUUUACUAGAAGUUGCAUCUUUACUCCUAGUUCUACCACUCUUUAUGGGAGUUUUCUCGGUAGUUCUAGCAAAAUCCGUGCUUAGAUUAGUAAAGAUUUCUUCUAACUUAUCAAUCCAAGACGGACUUUCUUCUAUUCUUUCAUGGAUUAAGGUACCCUUCUCUUUUAACAACUUAAAAAUAUCUCCCGCUUUUGACCCAAUAUUAGUGGCAAACUUAUGCAUCUUUUUAUCUAUAAUUUCCGUAUGUUCUUCAAUGAGCAUUUUCUUUUCAAUAGCAUCUAGUCUUUCCAUAACGUGCUCAAGGGUCAAGGUUGUUCCAUUAAUCAUGAGAGGUGGUGAUCCCACUAAAUUUCCCAUAGCAUUAAAAGCAUCAAGAGAGGGACACAUCAAGAAAUUUCCACCGGUGAUUGUAUCAAGGACGAAUCUAUACCAAGUGGUAAUGCCAACAUAAAAACAACGCAGAAGCACAACGGUAGACUGCUUGUGGAUAGAUCUAUUAUGAGCAUUGCAAAUUCUAUACCAAGUAUCUUUUAAAUUUUCUCCUCCCCUUUGUUUAAAGUUGAGGACCUCGUCCUCGAGAGUGCAAGCAAUAGAGGAAGAACUAUCCAUGACGACAAACAAGAUUGCACACAAAAACAGAUCCCACAAGAAAACGGUGAACGGAAAAAGAGAGGCGAAUAAAACGGCAAAUUUUUGUGAAGUGGGGGAGAGGAAAACAAGAGGCAAAUGGCAAAUAAUGUAAAUUGCGAGGAGAUGAGAUUUGUGAUUAGGAACCUGGUUAUGUUGAAGAUCCUCCCCGACAACGGCGCCUGAAAUUUUCCUUAUGGUAGCUGGAACUACGUCGGUAUUUCCCCGGAGAGGGAGGGAUGAUUUAGCACAGCGACAGUAGGUAUUUCCCUCAUUGAUGAAACCAAGGUUAUCGAACUAGUAGGAGAACCAAGCAACACAACGUAAACAGCCCCUGCACACAAAUAACAACACCUCGCAACCCGACGAGUUAAAGGGGUUGUCAAUCCCUUUCGGGUAACGGCGCCAGAAAUUGCGUGUUGACGGGAGAAAGUUGUAAUAGAUAGAAAUAAUAGAUCACAAAUAAAUAAAAGUGCAGCAAAGUAUUUUUGUAUUUUUGGUUUAAUAGAUCUAAAAAUGCAAAGAAAAAGUAGAUCGCAAGGCAAAUAUAUGAGAAAGAAGACCCGGGGGCCGUAGGUUUCACUAGUGGCUUCUCUUGAGAAAAAUAGCAAAUAGUGGGUAAAAAAAUUACCGUUGGGCAAUUGAUAGAACUUCAAAUAAUCAUGACGAUAUCCAGGCAAUGAUCAUUACAUAGGCAUCACGUCCAAGAUUAGUAGACCGACUCCAGCUUGCAUCUACUACUAUUACUCCAACACAUCGACCGCUAGCCAGCAUGCAUCUAGUGUAUUAAGUUUAUGGAAAAACGAAGUAAUGCAAUAAGAACGAUGACAUGAUGUAGACAAGAUCCGUUUAUCUAUAUGGCAGUAGAUAUAGAUCUUGUCUUUUUAUCCUUAGUAGCAACGAUACAUACGUGUCGGUUCCCCUUCUGUCACUGGGGUCGAGCACCAUAAGAUCGAACCCACUACCGGGCACCUCUUCCCAUUGCAAGAUAAAUAGAUCAAGUUGGCCAAACAAAACCCAAUUAUCGGAGAAGAAAUAUGAGGCUAUAAGAGAUCAUGCAUAUAAGAGAUCAAAGAAACUCAAAUAACUUUCAUGGAUAUAAAAAGAUAUAACUGAUCAUAAACUCGAAGUUCAUCAGAUGCCAACAAACACAUCGCAAAAGAGUUACAUCAUAUGGAUCUCCAAGAGACCAUUGUAUUGAGAAUUCAGCGAGAGAGAGAAAGCCAUCUAGCUGCUAACUACGGACCCGAAGGUCUACAAAGAACUACUCACGCAUCAUCGGAGAGGCACCAAUGGAAGUGGUGAACCCCUUCGUGAUGGUGUCUAGAUUGGAUCUGGUGGUUCUGGACUCUGCGGCGGCUGGAUGAAUAUUUCAUCGACGCUUCUAGGGUGUCUACAUUUUUGGGUAUUUAUAGAGCAAAGAGGCGGUCCGGGGGUACCCGAGGUGGGCACAACCCACCAGGGCGCGCCAGGGCCUCCUGGCGCGCCCUGGUGGGUUGUCCCCUCCUCGGGACUCCCCCAAGGUGCAACCAGGGCCCAUCUUCUUCCUUCUGGCCCAUAAAAAAUCUCCAAAUAGUUUCAGGGCAUUUGGACUCCGUUUGAUAUUGAUUUCCUGCGAUGUAAAAAACAUGCAGAAAACAGCAACUGGCACUGGCCACUAUGUCAAUAGGUUAGUAUCAAAAAAUGAUAUAAAAUGAUUAUAAAACAUCCAAGAUUGAUAAUAAACAGCAUGGAACAAUCAAAAAUUAUAGAUACGUUGGAGACGUAUCAAGCGGUCCCACUGAGUUAGCUUGACAUCCUCUCUAUUGCCUUAUUGCUUCACUUUGGUCUAAUCGAGUUGAUGCAAUCGGUGCCACCGAGUUGAUGUUUGCCCCAAGCCCUAGCACAUCGUUCCCACCGAGAUGUUCCAGUCGGUCCCACCGUGAUUCCUAACGUUUACAUUUUGAACUAAAUCGGUCUCACCGAGUUCUUCUAUUCGGUUUGACCGAGUUGGGUCAAAUAUGUGUAACGGUUGGAAUUUGUGUGGAGGCUAUAUAUACCCCUCCACCCCCUUCUCCAUACGAGAGAGAGCCAUCAGAACGUGUCUACACUUUCACUACUCAUUUUCUGAGAGAGAACCACCCACUCAUGUGUUGAGACCAAGAUAUUUCAAUCCCACCACAAGAAUCUUGAUCUCUAGCCUUCCCCAAGUUGCUUUCCACUCAAAUCAUCUUUCCAUCAUAGCCAAAUCUAUGAGAGAGAGUUGAGUGUUGAGGAGACUAUCAUUUUAAGCACAAAAGCAAGGAGUUCAUCAUCAACACACCAUCUAUUACCUUUUGGAGAGUGGUGUCUCCUAGAUUGGUUAGGUGUCGCUUGGGAGCCUCUGACAAGAUUGUGGAGUUGAACCAAGAAGUUUGUAAGGGCAAGGAGAUCGCCUACUUUGUGAAGAUCUACCCGAGUGAGGCAAGACCUUCGUGGGCGAUGGCCAUGGUGGGAUAGAUAAUGUUGCUUCUUCGUGGACCGUUCGUGGGUGGAGCCCUCCGUGGACUCGCGCAGCCGUUACCCUUCGUGGGUUGAAGUCUCCAUCAACGUGGAUGUAUGAUAGCACCACCUAUCGGAACCACGCCAAAAAUCUCCGUGUCAUCAUUGCGUUUGCACUCUCCAAACCCUUCCCUUACCUUCAUAUGCAAUGUUUUACUUUCCGCUGCUACACACUUAGAAUUGCAUGUGUAGGUUGAUUCCUUGACUUGUACUAGUUGCUAAAAUCUGCGAACAACUAAAAUUAGGAAAAGGUAAGAUUUUUCUUUGGUCAAGUAAUCUAAUCACCCUCCCUCUAGACCUACUUGCGAUACUACAUAUAGCAACCUUAUUAUGGACGAUAGUAAACUUAAUGUGUGGACCAUUCAAGUUAAUUGAAAUACCAUGGCAAAUUCCUUGUUCCGUAUUAGAGCAAAAUUAUUUUACAUACAUGGCAUUAUUUUUCCUUUUAUACAAAACAUGACAAUUUAUAAUAAAAAUUAAAAUUGCAAUUGUUAAUAUGCAAUCUUGCCAUGGUAAUUUGGUUCAUAUUUGUAUACGGCCGCUAUAGGUUAUAGUUCAUUGUGCAUUUCAUGGCUGCAAAAUUGUGAGGAUUGGUCAUAUGGGAAUUUUUUUCCUAAAAAGCGUGCCUCAUACAUUAUGGAAAAAUAUCAAAAUAAUUUUUUUGGAAUAGGCAGACGACAAAUGUAUGAAUAUUUGAUCGUCAUAACAUAUUUACCUUUUUUUAACAUGGUAAUUUUACUUUUAUUGGCAUGACUAUUUUUUAUUUGCCAUAGAAAUUUUACUUUUAUCGCCUUGGUAUCUUUAUCUUCAUUGCCAUCAUGCCAUGGCAAAUUUACUUUAGUCACUCAUGCGAAUGUAACUUUUUAUUUUGCCUUGGAAAAUUUUAAAUAAUCGACCAUGGCAAAUUUACACAUGAACAUUUUACUUUCAUGGUUCGUGGGACCUUGGUAAAUUUACUUUAUGAAACAUGGCAAUUACUAGUAAACUCUAUAUGGUACACUUGUUUUGUGUUUGUACAUGAUGCAAUUUAAUCCACAUUUUUUGUUGUCUUCAUGUAUAGUAAAAAUACCCUGCAAUGGCAAUCCUCAUUGGGUGCCACCAUGUACAUAUGCAAAUUGCAAUGAUUCUUCUUCUAGGCCAUUUUGAAAGAAAAAAGGUUGACCAUGGCAAAAAAAAUUCUUUUUCUUUCCAUUUCGCUUUCUGACCGGAGGGACGUCCGUUGGACCGCCAGGUUUUCGGGUGAUUCCAUGUGGGACCCCGACGUCAGUCCGACGUGACAGACGCGUCCGAGCUCACCCAUAUUCAGUCCAUAUUUGAACUGGAUUUAAAGGGUGCCGGUCAGCCGACUGGAUGUUUGAGGCCUGUUUGUGGAGCCCGUCUGGAUCAAAUUUUCAUGACCGGAACGUCCAACCGAGCGUUUGAGGCAGGUUCGGGGCGUCCGGCUGUAGAUGCUCCAUGGCGGAUACGACCUGCAACUUGUACCAUACAUGCCGAAAGACCGGGCCUGGCCGAGGGGGGCGCAUUCGGUGUGUACGCUCGGAACAUAGUAUAGACAUGAACACCAGUGAUCGCCUGAUCGGCACUCUCCACCCUCUGCACCGCUAUAGGCCGAUGGGAGGACACGUGGAGGGCGAUGAGAUGACAAAGGUCUCGGAGCAUCUACAGUCGAACUUGGCAAAUCCGAUCCCUCAAACGCCCGCGGACGCGACCAGGCACGCCCGUGGGCGCAUCCGGACGGGCCCUCAUAUUUCCUUCCGGGCAUCCUAAUAUGUCUCCAAAGUAUCUAUAAUUUUUUAUUGUUCCAUGCUGUUUUAUUAUCAAUCUUGGAUGUUUUAUAAUCAUUUUAUAGUCAUUUUAUAUCAUUUUUUGGUACUAACCUAUUGACAUAGUGCCAAGUGCCAGUUGCUGUUUUUUCCAUGUUUUUUACAUCGCAGGAAAUCAAUAUCAGACGGAGUCCAAAUGCCACGAAACUUCAGGAUGAUUUUUUAUGGUCCAAAAGGUAGAAGUUGGGCCCUGGUUGCACCUAGGGGGAGUCCCGAGAAGGGGACAACCCACCAGGGCGCGCCAGGAGGCCUAGGCGUGCCCUGGUGGGUUGUGCCCACCUCGGGUGCCCCCCGGACCGCCUCUUUGCUCUAUAUACCCCACCAGAUCCAAUCUAGACACCAUCUCGGAUGGGGUUCACCACCUCCAUUGGUGCCUCUCCAAUGAUGCGUGAAUUUUUCUUUGUAGACCUUCGGGUCUGUAGUUAGUAGCUAGAUGGCUUUCUGUCUCUCGCUGAAUUCUCAAUACAAUGGUCUCUUGGAGAUUCAUAUGAUGUAACUCUUUUGCGAUGUGUUUGUUGGGAUCAGAUGAACUUCGAGUUUAUGAUCAGUUAUAUCUUUUUAUAUCCAUGAAAGUUAUUUGAGUUUUUUUGAUCUCUUAUAGCCUCGUAUUUGUUCUCCGAUAUUUGGGUUUUGUUUGGCCAACUUGAUCUAUUUAUCUUGCAAUUGGAAGAGGUGCACGGUAGUGGGUUCGAUCUUACGGUGCUUGAUCCCAGUGACAGAAAGGGAAUCGGCACGUAUGUAUCGUUGCUAUAAAAAGAUAGGAUCUAUAUCUAAUGCAAUAUAAAAACGGAUCUUGUCUACAUCAUGUCAUCGUUCUUAUUGCAUUACUCCGUUUUUCCAUGAACUUAAUACACUAGAUGCAUGCUGGAUAGUGGUCAAUGUGUGGAGUAAUACUAGGAGAUGCAGGCAGGAGUCGGUCUACUAAUCUUGGACGUGAUGCCUAUGUAAUGAUCAUUGCCUGGAUAUCGUCAUAAUUAUUUAAAGUUCUAUCAAUUGCCCAACAGUAAUUUGUUUACCCGCCGUUUGCUAUUUUUCUUGAGAGAAGCCACUAGUGAAACCUACGGCCCUGGGUCUUCUUUCUCAUAUAUUUGCUUGCGAUCUACUUUUGCUUUGCAUUUUUAUUCAGAUCUAUUAAACCAAAAAUACAAAAAUACUUUGUUGCACUUUAUUUUAUUUGGGAUCUAUUAUUUCAAUCUAUUAUAAAUUUCUGGCAUCGUUACCCGAAAGGGAUUGACAACCCCUUUAACACGUCGGGUUGCGAGGUGUUGUUAUUUGUGUACAAGUGUUGUUUAUGUUGUGUUGCUUGGUUCUCUUACUGGUUCGAUAACCUUGGUUUCUUCAUCGAGGGAAAUACCUACCUUCGCUGUGCUACAUCAUCCCUUCCUCUUUGGGGAAAUACCGACGUAGUCCUAGCAGACAGGAGCUUUUCUAGCGCUAUAGUCAGAGAGCGAUCACAUCCACAUAUCUCAAAUCCGGACUCUCAAAUCCAUGCAAAUACAUGCAUGUCAAUCAUGCAACACAAUGUCACGCGUAAAUAGCAAUUGUUGGUAUCAAGCAUAGAUACCGUUUACAUAAAAUUUAUGUGAAGUGCCAAACUCAAGCUUUGCCUCCUUGGUUGCAUUGUGGAUCCACAUGUGCUCCACAAGAUCAUUGAGUAGCUGUGUGUGCACCUGCUGAUCUCGAAGAUUCUGAUGCAUCUGUAGAAAGUUCAUAAGCUGAGCCGCAUCUUGAUCUUCCAGGAUUUCAACUUGUUCUCCGGGUGCUUCGAAAUCAUGGGUUUGGGCUAGCUACACCAUCAUCCUCAUCCUCGACAAUCAUAUUGUGCAGAAUAACACAACAUGUCAUCAGCCACCACAAAGUUUCUGAUUCCCAAAUCAUUGCAGUGAUCCGCACAAUUCCUCAACGAGCCUGAAGCACACCAAAUGCCCUCUCCACGUCCUUCCUAGCCGCUUCCUGCAUUGUUGCAAAAUGGCUAUGUUUAUUGCCACGCGGAUCGGAUAUGGUCUUCACAAACGCCGCCCAUUGAGGAUAGAUACCAUCAGCAAGAUAGUACCCCAUGUUCUAGUCUCGGCCGUUGACGGUGUAGUUGCACGGCGAUGAUUCCCUAUUGCAAAGCCUCCUGAACACCGAAGAUCGUUGAAGCACGUUGACGUCAUUGUGAGAACCGGGCAUUCCAAAGAAAGAAUGCCAAAUCCAUAAUUCAUGUGAUGCCCUCUCUUCUAGUAUGAUGGUGGCCUCUGUGGUGUGACCUUGAUACAUUCCCCACAGACCUUUGGGGCAGUUCUUCCAUUGCCAAUGCAUGCAAUCAAUUGCUCCAAUGAAACCCCCUUUCCUCUCUAAUAACCAACAACUUCUCUGUGUCCUGCGCAUUUGGUUCUCUGAGAUACUCAGCUCCAAACACCUCCACCACGGCACGGGCAAAUUUGAUAGUAGUCUGCAGGUACGUGCUCUCCUCCAUCCCGACCAUCUCACCAACGGCGUCUGUAGCACUACCAAGUGCAAGCGUCGUCAGAGCAGCCAUGCACUUCUGCUUGGCCGAGAAAGAGAGUUGGCCGCACCAAUCUCUUCUGAGCUUGAAGUAGUCGUCGUGUGCCUCCACUCCCUCCACAACGCAAAAAUAAUGGUUUCCGCAUGCAAAAACGGCGACAAAACCAUGGAUCAUCCGGGAAAGCACGUGUGGGAGCAAAGUAGUCAUUGUGCAGUAGCUUUGCUUCGGACACCUUGUCCCGGUUGAUCGUUCUUCUCCCUUUGAUUGAGCCAUUGAAGUUGAGAAUAUGCUUCACUUGCCGGUCCAUUUCCUCUUGCAUGCUCAUGAGCAUGAUCAUGUCUACUUCUUUGUCCGAAUCCGAUGAAUCAAAGAACUCAUCUUGAAUCAUUUGGUCAAGCUCCGUCGGUCCAUACUCCUCGUCUGAUGAAGUAUAGGAAUCCAUCAUUUACCUAACAAAAUCACAAUAAUUCCGGUUGGUCCAUGUGUCAAACACAUCAAGCGCAAUGCGGAGCCGGAGAGUUGCCGGACAUACCACGGCGGAGUCCGGGCCGGCGAGGACGGGAGCGCUCUUCCCAAGCUGGCAGCGGAGAGCCUGGAAACGGCUGCGGAGCGGGCGCGGCGGCGGAGCGCGAGACGGUCGACGCGGAGGAGGAAGAAGAGAGGAGAUAGCAAAUGGAUCCGGCUGGUCUUCAGGGUGGAUUUGAUGCAAUUUGGGGUGGGGUCGGGCUGUCGGGUCGGGCUGUCGGACGUGGCCGGACGACCCCAUAUCUGUCCCAUAUUUAGGCUGGAUAUGGAGGGUGCCAGUCAGCCCGGGCGUUUGAGUGCCACUUGAGGGCCCCGUCUGGAUCAAAAAAUCGUGACCGGACAGUGACCGAACGGCCCGCCCAAAUCUAUAAGGCAGGUUUGAGAGAUCCGACAGUAAAUUAUCUCAAAAAAAGGUGGCAUCACGUCGGAAAGAUCCGACCACAAAUUUAAAGCGCGCGUCCGGAUAGUAUACCGUCGGGCGAACAUCAGCGCGAGCUAGCCAGCUACUCCGGGGUAUCUUUCGCUGCGUCGGCGUCGCUUUACGUUACGCCGUCACCGGCCGCUCUUUUUUGUUGCUUCCCUGCCCUGCCCGGAAAGGGUAGCUAGUCCAACACCAGCCACAGGCUUCGUGGUUAAGCUAGCUGUGUGAUCGAUGUGCGGCUGUGGCUGCCCCGUAUGGCCUCGCGCGGUACUAUUGUCAACGUCUGUCUUUCCAUGGAUGGACUCAGCUAGGAGACGAACGGUUCAUGGAGUACGAGACUAGAGUAAACAGUAAGUAGCGCUGGCCGGAGUAAAAAAUUUAAUCAAGUUGUCGCGAAUUCGUGACGUUCCUUUUAACCUAGCUAGCUCGUGCUCUGGUCUGGUCCAUUUUAGCUAAGGCCCCAGCACCGAACGUAGGUUCUGUCCGUACUGUACCUUAAAGUGUAAGUGUGGCUUAAUUGGCCGUUAAAUUUGGGUCGUCACACCUACGUACGUACGCCCGUACCCUUGCACAACUAGUCAAGACUCAAGAAGAACCUCAGCUAUCUCANNNNNNNNNNNNNNNNNNNNNNNNNNNNNNNNNNNNNNNNNNNNNNNNNNNNNNNNNNNNNNNNNNNNNNNNNNNNNNNNNNNNNNNNNNNNNNNNNNNNNNNNNNNNNNNNNNNNNNNNNNNNNNNNNNNNNNNNNNNNNNNNNNNNNNNNNNNNNNNNNNNNNNNNNNNNNNNNNNNNNNNNNNNNNNNNNNNNNNNNNNNNNNNNNNNNNNNNNNNNNNNNNNNNNNNNNNNNNNNNNNNNNNNNNNNNNNNNNNNNNNNNNNNNNNNNNNNNNNNNNNNNNNNNNNNNNNNNNNNNNNNNNNNNNNGGGCUAACUGCAAUAGAGAACCGACCGACUAUUUUUUUCCUUUCCAGAAAAUUAGCUAUCGUUAGCGUUGGUUGUAACAGAAGGAGAGAGGAAGACAUGCACGCCCUACAUUAUGUGAUUGCAUGCAAAAGAUUAGACGCCCAAGAUUUUGGGAAGGAGGGAGUAGAAUAUUUCGACUCGAAAGUAAUACUUAACACCACCUGUCGUCGAUGUAGAGCUUGUCGCCCCGACUCUAGGUCAUCCGGCUGAUCGCAUAUCCCUCGAUCCCUUGGAGAGCUCCUUCCAAGAAUUCAACACCACCGUGCGAUAGCCCCACCGUGGGAGCCAACUGUCAUGGUUUUGUCACGGCAGAUGUCCUCGAAAAAGGACCUAGUCGUGAGGCCAUCGCAGCUAGGUAGUAGUUUGAAUGGGGUUGAUCGGAAUCGAGAGACACGGGUUUACCCAGGUUUCCCCCUCACCGUGAAGGUAAAAACCUACUUCCUGCUUGAUUGAUUAUUGAUUGAGAUCUCGAUUACAAGGGUACGACUUUGGCUAACCUAGUACUCCAGAGCUUGUAACUUAAGUUUUUCGCCUCAGGGGCUCCCCUUUAUAUCCAGGUCGAGACCCUGAGGUCACAACAGAAUCCGGGUCGUACUGCGACCCGUGUCUUAAUCUAUUUCCUACUCAUCUUGUCUCUCAAGGAAGGGAAAAUCCUUAUAACUUCCUCCUUAAGCAGACCUUCCAGACAUUGGGCCAUAAGCCGGCCUCCUCUUUCAGUCGCCUCUUGGGCCUUGAACUGCGGCCCACAUAAUGAGCCUGUUUAUGAGCCGCCAUAGGAUAACCAGGUCAUAUCCUGCCCGGGUCAUAUCAUGGGGUAUAUCCCCAACAGGGAGUGUAUGUGACAUCCCUGCUUAACAGAAAUGACGACUACUCAUAUCAACAAGGUGCACCUUCUUUUUAGGGAGCCCAUCCAAAAUAAACCUCAAAGUUGAGCAUGCUUGGCUUGGAGCAAUUUGAGGAUGGGUAGUUGAUCAUUGGUGCACAUGGGGUGAGCACAAAGUGCGCGGGAAAGACUACUGUUGGUAUGUGGGGCUAGUCUAGAUCCCAGGUGCAACGACUAGGAACCGGUGGGUUUGGUCGGUGCGUUACACCUUGCACUAGUAGAAAAAGGGUCAUCUGUCCCGGUUGGUCAGGGCCUUUUGUCCCGGUUGUUGAACCGGGACUAAAGGGUCGUUACUAAUGCCCUAGCCCUUUAGUCCCGGUUCUUACACGAACCGGGACAGAUGGGCCUCCACGUGGCCGCUGCGGCCAGUCCAGGUAGGAGGGCCUUUGGUCCCGGUUGGUGACACCAACCAGGACCAAAAGGCAUCCACGCGUCAGCAUUUCAGUGGCUGGGGUUUUUGUUUUUUUUUGAAAGGGGGGAGGGUUUAGGGGGUAAUUUAGGGUGUGUAAGCUAGCUAACAGAGAUAUAUAAUAACUUAUAUAUAAUAACUCUUCAUGCCCGCAUCAUGCAUCAUCAUAAUAACAAGUCCUACUAAUCAUCAUCAUACAACUUCUACUCGUUAUUAAUAACAAGUCAUACGAUCAUCAUCCUCAUAGUCAUUGAACCAACCCUACUUAAUUGUUCUUAGCACAUGAUCAUCAGUAUUAGGUAGGACCUAAAUGAAGGAAAUAUGCCCUAGAGGCAAUAAUAAAGUAUUAUAUAUUUCCUUGUAUCAUGAUAAAUGUUUAUUAUUCAUGCUAGAAUUGUAUUAGCCGGAAACAUAAUACAUGUGUGAAUACAUAGACAAACAAAGUGUCACUAGUAUGCCUCUACUUGACUAGCUCGUUAAUCAAAGAUGGUUAUGUUUCCUAGCCAUAGACAUGAGUUGUUAUUUGAUUAACGGGAUCACCUCAUUAGGAGAAUGACGUGAUUGACAUGACCCAUUACGUUAGCUUAGCACCCGAUCGUUUAGUAUGUUGCUAUUGCUUUCUUCAUGACUUAUACAUGUUCCUAAGACUAUGAGAUUAUGCAACUCCCGUUUACCGGAGGAACACUUUGUGUGCUACCAAACGUCACAACGUAACUGGGUGAUUAUAAAGGUGCUCUACAGGUGUCUCCAAAGGUACUUGUUGGGUUGGCGUAUUUCGAGAAUAGGAUUUGUCACUCCGAUUGUCGGAGAGGUAUCUCUGGGCCCACUCGGUAAUGCACAUCACUAUAAGCCUUGCAAGCAUUGUGACUAAUAAGUUAGUUGCGGGAUGAUGUAUUACGGAACGAGUAAAGAGACUUACCGGUAACGAGAUUGAACUAGGUAUCGAGAUACCGACGAUCGAAUCUCGGGCAAGUAACAUACCGAUGACAAAGGGAACAACGUAUGUUGUUAUGCGGUCUGACCGAUAAAGAUCUUCAUAGAAUAUGUGGGAGCCAAUAUGGGCAUCCAGGUCCCGCUAUUGGUUAUUGACCGGAGAGGUGUCUCGGUCAUGUCUACAUUGUUCUCGAACCCAAAGGGUCCGCACGCUUAAAGUUACGAUGACAGUUAUAUUAUGAGUUUAUGUGAUUUGAUGUACCGAAGGUUGUUCGGAGUCCCGGAUGUGAUCACGGACAUGACGAGGAGUCUCGAAAUGGUCGAGACGUAAAGAUUGAUAUAUUGGACGACUAUAUUCGGACACCGGAAGUGUUCCGGAGAAGUUUCGGAUUAAACCGGAGUGCCGGAGGGUUACCGGAACCCCCCGGGGAAGUAUUGGGCCUUAGUGGGCCUUGAGGGGAGAAAGAGGGCAGCAGCCAUGAGGUGGUGCGCCCCCUCCCAAGGAGUCCUGGUUGGACUAGGAGAGGGGGGGCGCAGCCCCCUUUCCCUCUCCCUCUCCCUCUCUUUCCUUCCCCCCUUCUUUUCCUAGUAGGACUAGGAAAGGGGAGUCCUACUCCUAUUAGGAGGAGGACUCCCCCCCUCUCCUUGGCGCGCCCCAUAGGCAGCCGGCCUCCCCUUGCUCCUUUAUAUACGGGGGCAGGGGGCACCUAAGAACACACUUGAUAUACGAUAUUUUAGCCGUGUGCGGUGCCCCCCUCCACCAGAUUACACCUCGAUAAUACCGUCGCGAAGCUUAGGCGAAGCCCUGCGUCGGUGGAACAUCAUCAUCGUCACCACGCCGUCGUGCUGACGAAACUCUCCCUCAACACUCGGCUGGAUCGGAGUUCGAGGGACGUCAUCGAGCUGAACGUGUGUAGAACUUCGGAGGUGCCGUACGUUCGGUACUUGAUCGGUCGGAUCGUGAAGACGUUCGACUACAUCAACCGCGUUGUGAUAACGAUUCUGCUGUCGGUCUACGAGGGUACGUGGACAACACUCUCCCCUCUCGUUGCUAUGCAUCACCAUGAUCUUGCGUGUGCGUAGGAAAAUUUUGAAAUUACUACGUUCCCCAACACUAAAUACCCUUUUUAGGGUAAAAUAGCAUAAAACAAUAUAGACCCCGACUCUCUAUUAUGGAGAAUGGAGAUCAUCCUGUCUCCAAUUUUUGCGCUUCGCUUCCUUUUGCUUCCAAGAACCUCUUUGCGACUGUCCAUACAUUUUUUCCAUUCUUUGAUUUUCAUGUCUCCACUUCUUUUAGAAAUCUGGUAUGGACAGUUGAGAUUCGUAGGAUGACCUAGUUGUAUGUUCAAAACAUCAAGGCUACCAUUCUGAUACAUCAAAUGAGGCACACAAUCCUCUGGGAUUAUCUCUUGAAAAACAUAGUAAUAACUUCAUAGUUAGCAAUGAUGUACUAGUUUUAGAAGUAUGCAAAAGAUGCACAGAUGUCGUAAUAGUAAGAAAUCUUACCAGGGUAUCUCCAUAGUAGUUACCGUAGUUCAACACGUGCACUAGUGGCCCGUACUGGCCAUAAUGUGGAGGAGUUUUACAGUAGAUAUUGUAAUUCUCAAGAUCAGUACAAAAUCCGACCAGAUGAGUUUUCUCCUUAUAAGUUAACUCAGAGCCAUCGGUGUAGUAGGUUCUGUCUACCAUGUUCCGCACAUUGUUUGAAGAAUCAAAAUAAGCUUUCAAUGAAAAUAAGUUGUCAACUAUUUGAAAUGAACAAUAUAAAUUAGCUAAUAACUAUGUUUGAGAAACUCACAUAGCGGUAGAAUUGGAGGCGUAUCAACAAGCACCCAAAUGUCCAUAUUGUCUUGCUCGAUGUCAGGAUCACCAAGAUCCAUUGUGACAAGCAUACCCUCAUCAAAACCAUACAUCUUGCAAAAUGCUUCCCAAUUUUUGCAACCAAAAUGGGUUACGCUCUCAAAAUUAUACAGAUUUACUUCAAAAUCUAUAUCAUGCUGGGUCCUUAGGUGAAUUUUCUUUGUUUUCAUACUUUCAUGGUCUUCAAAACUCAUCCUCUCCAAGACGUAGCGUCUUGCAUGGCAUGGGAUAAGCUAGUCGAAUUGUAAAAGAUGAAAAGUACACGUUGAAAUAGUUGAAGUCGUGCUUAAUUACGAAAAAAAACACUUGUCGUCGUUGCGUACCGUUUCAACAUCGAAGGUCUCCUCCAGCUUAAUACUGAAGCGCCGAUCUUCAUCCAGGUGAGGCCUGUCGCACAGACCUCGGUCGUCGUGGCACCAGUCCCACUCCCACGGGAGACUUUCAUCGUCCGAGUACGACAUUUCCUAUGUUCAUAAUUCAAAUAUUAAACGUCUACAAUUAAAUAUAUGUACUAAAAACCUAAGUUAGAUCAUUAUUAUUCAUCACGGGUUGACUAUCGGUUUGUCGAGUCUUUUCUUGAAAACUCUCAGCUCACGUGGUGUAUACAUUCGACCGUUGGUGAUGGUCGCUCCUCCUUUCAUCCCCGAGUGCAUUACACCAAAAUGUCUAGCACACGGGAAUGAAGGAGAAGCGACCCCCACGACAACAGCCGGGAUUCUUCGUCCUCUCAUAUAUAUAUAUAUAUAUAUAUAUAUAUAUAUAUAUAUAUAUGGUGGAACUCUCCCUCACUGAUUCCCCUCAAACAUUUGCGACCAUCGGUGAUGGUAGCUCCUUCCUUUCGUUCCCGAGUGCAUUACACCAAAUUUUCUAGCACACGGGAACGAAGGAGAAGCUACCCCCACGACAACAGUCGGGAUUCUUCGUCCUCUCAUAUAUGGUGGAGACUCAAUAGACUUAAAGUCAACCUGAAAUAUCGUUUAAUUAUCUUUCUAAAACCGGUUCGUGGCUGGUCUCACCUCGAGGUCGGAGGGGGUCGGUGACGGGGACGACGGCGGGGAUGAUGGAGGGGGGCUCCUAGAUUUCUGCGAAAACAAAAACCCUAUAAGCUAUCAACUAAUCAUAUGCAUACGCCUUGCAUAGUGCUCUCCAAUUUUAGCAUUCAAAGUAGGAGUAGUUUUCCAAUUUGAGCAUUCGAUAAGCAAAAUCAAAUCACAAAAUAAAGUAGUAUUCAAAUUAGGAUGCAUUCAAUUAUAAGCAAAACUACAUCAUCUCCAUGCGUCCGUACAUCGUCGAAUAUUAUCACUAAUACACCUCGAAUACUAUCAUACAUAUAGCAUUGCUAGUACAGCUAGAACCGUAGCGCCCGACGGGUAUCGGCGCGGGCGGUGGAUACCCAAAGAGAAGGAACCAUCACAGGAUCAUAGCUCCAGUGAGAUCCCUGAAGAACCUACCAGGUAUUGUCGAACCUGCACUCCAACGCAACCAUGUAGCGACGGACGUGCUCGUCCUCCUCGCUGACACGGUGACGUACCACCUCCGCGGUGUCCUGAAGCCUCGGCACCAUCACUGGCCCACGCGACUGCCACCAAAUAAGGAUCAGGUCAAUGACGGGCUGGCUCCUCACCAACCUACGCCCCCCGGAAGGUAGCACCUCCCAAAACCAGCCCGGCGGAGCCCAGUCCCGGACAUGGCCCCUCUGAUCAAGCCGGCCUCCUCCGCCGAGUCGACGACGAGGAUGCGGGAUUGGCAUCAUCGACGUCGAUGCAGGAAUAAUUGCUUUAACUAAAAAAAUAAACUAGUUCUAUUAAUUUUCUUGCUAAAAAUAAACUACUUCUAUAGUAAAAUAAACUAGUUUUAUUAAAUCAACUAGUUCAACUACUAAGCACUUACUAUAAAUAGAAUAAAGUAGUACUUACUAAAAAUAAACUAGUUUAACUAGUUCUAUUAUUUUUCUAACUAAUUCUAUUAAACACUUUCUCUUAUUAUUCUAUGAACAAAAUUACAACAGAAAAAAAUCAUAAAAAUUCUAUGAAGAAGAUAAAAAUUCUAUGAACAAAAUUACAACAGAAAAAAAUUAUAAAAAUUCUAUGAAAAAUUGACAUAUUCUUUGCAUAUAUAUGAACACACAAACAUUUGCAUAUUCAACAAUAAUAUCACAAAAAAAUCU
This 60455-nucleotide long non-coding RNA is filed under the name Triticum aestivum (bread wheat). RNAcentral's name for it is "long non-coding RNA (TAES_LNC008975)". The record is from RNAcentral. Lineage: Eukaryota; Viridiplantae; Streptophyta; Magnoliopsida; Poales; Poaceae.